GUUUUUUUUUGUGAUGAACAUUGCUGAAUGUUCUAACUGCAUGCAAAAUUUCAGAUUGAAAUGACAUUUGUGGAGGUCUGGGCAAAAAUAACAAAAUCGAUGCUCCAAAAUGCAUCCAACAAUAGUCUUUUUGGAGCACCGAUUUUAUUUUUUUUGCCCAGACCUCCACGAAUGUCAUUUCAGCCUGAAAUUUUGCACGUAGUUAGAGAUUUUGUCAAUGUUCAUCACAAAAUAUAUCAGAUUUUUUUUUGAAGUUUUUAAUUUUUUUUGGAUUUUACUGUUCAUGCGGGAGCAUAUGAGUUCGGGAUCAAAUACUCCAUGUCCAUUCAGUACUCGCAGUAUCAUGUGGACAUGAAAGUUACAGUUGAACCUUGGCCCUUGACUUGACUGUAUGGUGAAGCAAACAGGCAAAUCCCACAGAGGAUGCAUGUGGGACUUCCUAAAAAAAUCACCAACGAUGAUAUGUGGUUUUAUGAGGUGGUGGAUGUACGCGUCCUAUGUGUCAUCGGUUUCGCAAGGCGGGACUGGAGUUUCAAAAAAAAGUACGAGGUGACACUUAUACGCUGGUGAGACUUGGACGAGGCCGCUACUCCGGUGAAACACAAACUGUCUGCAAGAAACUGGGACAAUUAAUUGGCCGAAGUAAAUCUACUUGCAAGAAAACCAGAUCAACAUGUCACAGUUUCAAAGGCUUUUUCAUAUGACCAUCCUGAUUAACUUGGGAGCCGGAUUGCACUGUCGAAGGGCAACAUAACAGAGUUAAAAACAAAAUAUGGAUUGAAAUGGAAAACACUAUUGUAUCAAACCAACCAACAGCCAUCCCGGUGAAGAAACAACUUCACAUUGGACAUGGUUUAUUUCUGUCACCACGGGCACAAUGAACCAGGAAAGGGAAAACAUCAUAUUCACGAAAGUAUCCUUCUAAACACAUCAGAAAGCGGGUUGGAAUGAGCAGACCCUCGCGUCCGUGUACACCUUCCCUGGGAGGCAGUAGUAGCCCUCCUCCGGUGCACAGUGCGAGUCGUCUGAGCAGAUGCAAAGCCCCUCAAUGGCGCAACGCUUCUCGAAGAUGGCAGGGCUCCCAUUGAUGCCGAGAACUUGGUCGCUCCACUCACUGGAGAAGAUCCCAUCAGGGUCAUACCUACGCUUCACCUCCAGGAACUUGCCCGCCUUGGGGUGCUUGGCCAUUGCGCCUUCAAAGGCAAAGUUGCGGUUCUUUCCCCAGUGCGGGAUGGCGUUGUACUUGCGCAGCGCCAUCUGCUGGAGCUCGUCGAGCACCUCAUAGUGCGGGUUGGGCUCGCCCUUGGUGUAACUCCGGUAGUAGGCUAUAUCAAAGUCGAUCGAGUCCUCUGGCUUGCCGAGGUAGGCAGAGGAUGCCUUGACGUAGCGGAUGAGCAUACCGCCACUGGUGUCGAUUCCACAGAAGGAUAGCGGACAACGGUCACGGAGCUCUUGCAUGUCGGCAACGAAUGCUGGCACCUUCGAGAGCGCGAUGCUAUAUGCAUUGGUGUAGAAGAAGGUCCCCUGGAUGCGUGGGUCCCAUGCGCAUGAGGUGAGGAGCGCGUCUUCUUGGCUACCAAUACAUGCGCCAGACGCUUGGAUCUUGUGUUGGAACCCCACCACUGGGUACCCAGUGAACAAGCUACCAUUGUUUGUGAAGCCAUAUGCUGCCGUCUCAAACAACGAUACCGUCGCAUUUGCCGCCUUGCACCGGGCGACGGCAUUGAUGUUCUUCUCGAGAAGCUCCAUGGUGACUCUGCUACUGAUGAGCGGGGCUGUCGGGUUGGAGCGGAAUCCUAGGUGGUCAUUGAGGCCGUCGCCCACCGUCUUGAUGGUCACACGGUCAUCCUCGCGGUAAAUGACCUUGUGGAGCUGUGGUAGCCACGCCAUAUCGCCGAAUUCGUGGAGGUCGCCCCACCUUGCCGCCUUUUCUGCCAUGUCUGAGUCAUCACGUGUCACAAAUGUCACCGACCGCUUGAACAUCGGCUGCAAUGCCAGUGUAACCUGAAUAUAUGCAUUGUUAAGAAAACUCUAGAAGAAAUGAUCGAUUAAUUAAUUUGUUACAUAGACUUCAUAAAUUAGCAUAACUACUUAUUGGACUUCUAAUUUCUUUAGUAGUACUGCAAGAAUUAACCUUGGGCCUUUAGGCGCAUCAACUCCUAAUAACUCAAGCUGAGAUGAGUUGGACCCUGAGAGCAGGCUAAUAGGGAAACCUUCUUUUCCUCCUUCCUCCCUCACGUGAAACACUAGGAGCUAGAUCCACGACAUCGAUCUACCUACUCUCCAAUGAGAUCAUGCCCCCUCCAUUCGUUCGGCACGUCGGCAGCUCGUUUAGGCGGCAGUACUGGUUGUUCGGUGGUCUCGAAAUCUUGAUGUAAUUUUAUUACGUUUGAAAUGCUCUGUACUUCCGAUGAAAUUUUAUAAUACUAGAUCUGAUCCUUUUGGCAAAAAAUAGUAUAAUCGCUCAUAUCUCUCAAAAAAAUGGAUUUGCUAAUUCCCAGUCGCCUAAGAAAUAGUUAAUUCUUAGGGACGUGAGGACUAUCUGAUCUCCAUGUUACAAUGCAUUUUUCUUCAUGUUGCCUUUUCAGUUUUCUUGUUUUUGAGCAACUACCUAGGGUAGGGCGUUUAUAUAUAAGCUGUUCCUAUCAAAAAAGAUGAUGUGGCUUUUUCACCUUUUAUAUUUCUAUUUUAUUUCUUGCUUUUUAAUACUUUUUAUUUUUCUUGUUAUUAUUACUAGAUAAUGCCCCACGCGUUUCUGCAGAAUUUAUAGCAAUAGAUAGUGAAAAUAAUUUGGUACUUAACAAAAUAAAAAUAAAUAUUGAUGAUGUGGAGGACUUGCAUGUGCUUGAUGAUGUUAAGUCUUUGCAUGUGUUGGAAAAUUGACGGUGGACAGGGGCGGAGCUAGGCUAAUGCAAGGGUAUGCAAUGCAUACCCAAUCUUUUUUGCAAAAGAAAUUCAGUACAUAAGCUCCUAUAUGCCUUCAUAUCACAUAUGGCAAUCUUUUUGUAAGUAUAGAGAAGAGAAACGAAGAAGAGAACAAUUCCAGCGCCACUUGGGCCAAGAUUGGGUUGCUACGUUGCUAGUUAGCGCUACUGGGCCUUAUCAUUGAGGCAAUGAUGCGGCUGGCCGAUUGAAAAAGCCGAGGAGACAGCUCGACCUGGAACGUGUCGCUUCGAUCGUUCUAUUCAACCGCCGUUGCGCUGCGCUGCGCCUCCUCCGCCGCCUGUGACGCACAUUGUUGCGCUGCAUGCCCGCAUCCGCCAUCGGCAUCGUUGCCGAUCUGCCAUCUUGGAUCUAGCAGAUCGAUCUCCUCGCGCAUGUUCGCUGCUUCGCCUCCAAUUGAGGAACGGCGGCCGCGGCGGCAGCACCAGUGUACACAUAUCGGGCACCGAUUCUUGUGAUUGUUUUUUUCGAGUCAGUGAGUGUUCAUCUUGAUCUCUUCCAUUUGUUAGUUAAGAAGAGAUGAUUAUUUUCACUCCCUAAAAUUUUUUGAUUGACCUAUUGUAGCAGCCAGUAAUUUUGGGUGUGGUCUGCAUUCGCUUGCUAGAAAACUUGUGAAGCAGUACAGAGAAAACAAGGUGAAUCUCAUGCAUAUAAAUUUCUGAAUUAUGAAUAUUUGAAUUUGUGAGACUGCCCACCAUGCCAGUAUGCCGCCAUCACUAUCUAACAUGUUCUAUUAUUAUUAUUAUGAACUUUUCUAUUUCUUACAAUGUCGUGAAGCAAUUUUUUUUUACCAUGCAUACCCAUAUCGGAAAUCCUGGCUCCGCCACUGACGGUGGAGGCCUUACAUGUGCCUGAUGAUGUGCUAGAAUAAUAAUAGGUAGUGGGUUGCAAUUAUUUAAAAAUAUAGGAUUAAUUUGCACACUUAGAGAACAUUAAAGCUCCAUUCUUAUCAAAAAAUUAAUUGUUAUUGCAUGUUCUUCUUUGCUCUUGUUUUUUUUUUGCUUCACGUUUCCACUUUUUUGAUACACUGGAGUUACACAUAUUUGUGUUGCUUAGUUCCAUUGAAGAAUCCUCCAACAAUAUUUCCAACUAUUAUUGAUUUUUUUUGUUCUAGUUAUAUUUUAUUAAAUAUAUUCAAAUGUGCAACUCGGUUGAUGUGAACCUUUUUGUAAUGCUAAAGUUGCACUUUUUUUCUAAGAAUGUGGAACUACUCUAUUUAAAAAGGGGAGUAUCUAGAACUCAUCUAGAUGAGAUAUAAUUUGGUCUCAUUCAUUUUGAAAACAACAACAGAUACAACUCACGUCAGCACACACGCAUCUUAUAGCAUCACAUCCAAUGGCUAUAAAAGGUGAAUGAGACCAAAUUAUAUCUCAUCUAGAUGAGUUCUAGCAAAACUGUUUAAAAAGUGCAACCAGGUUGUUAUAUGUACUACUACUAUUUAUCCCGAUUAUUAUGCAUAACUUGUAAUUUCCAGGUUUCAUCAUUGUAAAAAUACCACUUUCCGAAAAGUGCAACCGGUUUAGUUAUGCACACAAGUUGCAAUAUUCACGCACCUGGGAAACGACGCCAAGGACGCCGAGGGAGACCUUGGCGGCGUCGAGGUCGGGAUGGUCGGCGCAGAGCUCCCGUACCACCGCGAACCCUUGGCUGGCCGGCGCCGGCGUGACGAUCCUCAUCCCGACCACGUACUCGUGCACGGCGCCGCCCUUGCCCUUGAGCGAACUGCCGUGCGCGCCCGUGGCCAGCAGGCCCCCGAUGGUGAGCCCCGACCAGUACGGCGAGUGCGGCAGCGCGAGCCCUUUCGCGGCGGCCGCCUGGAUGAGGUCCCGGAGCACCAUGCCGCUUUCCACCGUCAUAAGCCCCUUGGCGACGUCGACGCUUGCCACCCGGUUGAGCCGCUCAGUGCUUAUGAUGGUGCCAUCGCGGCCGCCGGGGCAGGCCAGCUUGGGGAAGCUGUGGGAGUGCUUGGUGGCCACCUUCACCUUGCGCUUGGCCGCCGCCGCGGCUGCCACGGCCGCGACUAGCUCCUUCUCGGUGCGCGGGAAGGUGGCGUUGGCCGCGCGGCAGAUGGUGCGGUCCAGGAAGGAGCCGAACGCGUUGGAGACAGUGCAGUCGGCCAUCCCGCGGGCACAGACCACAGGCUCCGGCGGAGGGCUCGAGCCGGCGAGGCCGGCCAGGAGCACGAGGAGGAGAACCGUAAGCACCAUUGUUAAGGUGUAAUUAACCAAGGCUUUCAGUGCUAGGCUGCUAGCUAUAUAGCUUGGUCAAGCUCCCGGCACGGUGUGCAGCAUAGUCCCCGCUUAUUAAACAAGCUAGGCACGUUCGUUCAAAGUCAAUGCAAAACCCACAUGAUUAGAUUUAUGAAGGUUAUCUGUCGUACCUACGAGCAAACGGCCAACUGGCCGGGUUUUUACCGGACACAAAAUGUUUUUACCCAACAUUGAUGCCUCUAUGAAGUGUUUGACACCACAUCUCAUGUUCUUGCAUGCACGACGAUAACACCAACAUCACCGUCUCAAGGAGACAGUAGGACUCUAUGCCGGAGUUUCGUUCUUGACAGACAAACUCAAGGAGAGGAUCAAAGCCCAAAAGACCAACUCAAAAAUGAAGUGCGGCCAUCCACCACAACGGAGAGGCAGCGGAACGCCCCUCCUUUGUCGCUGGUCGCCAGAGUAGCAUGCAGAGGGGAGGAGAGUCCACGUGCUCACUGACAGAGCGUAGAGAGAACAAAGUAUCGCCCUCGGUCACGGGAGGGGAAGGAAUAAAUCGAUUCUUCUACAUGGACCCCUUUCCAUUAAUUUGCAUAACGAAAAUAUGAAGUUCCAGUAACCAAAAAACAGGUGACAUGAAAGAGAGAGUAGUGUGUUCGGAGGAACGGCACAGUAAACCCACUGCUCAUGCCUACAAUCAAGACAUGAACCAUGGGGCAAAAACCCAUCAUCGUAGAGCUAAGCCUAUCCUAACAUUACAUGAGACGAGAAAAAAAACUUCAGAUAAAACGCAAUGCAACCAACAGACUGGAGUACAAAAAGAGUCACUGAUAUGUUUACGGAAUUAUUAUUCCUUAGAUUAGAGGAAUCCUAGCUGCGACCAGUCGACGAGAUGACUCCGGCACCCCGCGAAGACUACACGAGCUUCUUUGAAUACAAAAGCAAGCCGCCCAUGCACGGAGUAUAAUAACAGUGGCGAAAAGUUUAUCAAUUCUCCCCUUGUUUAUACCUUUAGACCAAUUAUUCUUUAGCAUUUUAAGGGCAAUAAUGUGAUGACUUACAAAAGGAAUGUGUCCACAAGUCAACUUGCAGGCGGCUAUAGGAUCAAUUCUUGCUUGAAUAGUUGGGUUGUCGUCACCAAGCGUGGAUUAAAAACCUCCUUUGCUUUGGGUUGUUGUUUAACAUUCGUUGUCACUGGAACACGGAAACCCUCCAGCUACUUUUUAUCAAAAACUUUGGACCAAAGAUGCAAAACUUCAUCUAUGACCUCAUCAGAUUUGAAGGAUUUUUUAAGAAUUCCAAAGGCAUCCGUUUCCCAGGUACGUGAAAAUUGCACCUUGUGUGUGAAACCUGGAAAUUACUCCCUCCGUUCCUAAAUAUUUGUCUUUCUAGACAUUUCAAAUGACUACUACAUACGGAUGUAUGUAGACAUAUUUUAGAGUGUAGAUUCACUCAUUUUGCUCCGUAUGUAGUCACUUGUUGAAAUGCCUAGAAAGACAAGUAUUUAGAAACGGAGGGAGUACAACUCAUGCAUCACCCUGAACUUAUGCUUCAACACUGGAGCGGGAGACAACGGGCUGCCGUUUGGACGACCAGGAGAUGAGUGAUGGUCCAAGGUAGACGCAAUAACCAGAGGUCGAGCGGCGCGUGCCAGGGCAGCCGGCCCAAUCGGCGUCAGAAUAAGCCGCCAGAUCCAUAGACGAAGAAGCCUGAAGUGACAAUCCAAGAUCCAAGGUACCACGGAUAUAGCGCAGAAUGCGCUUCACUGCGGUCCAGUGAGCAUCACGAGGAGCAUGCAUAUGAAGGCACACCUGUUGUACAGCGUACUGGAGCUCCGGACGAGUAAGAGUGAGGUACUGAAGAGCACCAACAAUCGACCUGUAGAACGGAGCAUCUGAAGCAGGAGAACCGUCUGUGGCAGAGAGCUUGGCCUUCGUAUCGACAGGUGUGGCAGCCGGUUUGCAAUUAAGCAUCCCGGCGCGGUCCAGAAGCUCAUGAGCAUACUUCCGCUGAUGAAGAAAGAAGCCAUCUGCUCGACGAAUAACCUCGAUCCCGAGGAAAUAGUGCAGAGGACCUAAGUCCUUAAUGGCAAACUCAGCACGAAGAUGAUCCGUGAGCUGUCGAAGAAGGGCAGUCGAGCAUGCUGUCAAGAUGAUGUCGUCGACAUAGAGCAGCAGAAAAGCAGUAGCAUCACCCUGGUGGUAGACAAACAGUGAAGCAUCGGAGUGAGUGGAGCGGAAGCCAAGCUGAGUGAGAAAUGUUGCGAUGCGCUGGUGCCACGCGCGAGGAGCUUGCUUGAGCCCGUACAAAGACCGAGAGAGCAAGCACACAUGAUCCGGAGAAGACUCAUCAACGAACCUAGUCGGCUGCUGACAGAACACCUGUUCCUCAAGAUGACCAUGAAGAAAAGCAUUCAAAACAUCCAUCUGGUGCACAGGCCAGGAGCGAGAGACCGCUAGCUGAAGGACAGUCCGAAUUGUCCCGGGUUUGACAACCGGGGCGAAAGUGUCGGUGAAGUUAACACCUGCUCGUUGACGAAAACCCCGAACGACCCAACAGGCCUUGUGUCGGUCCAGAGUACCAUCCGGAUGGAACUUGUGCUUGAACACCCACUUCCCGGUGAUGAUGUUGGCCCGAGGAGGACGGGGAACGAGCUGCCAAGUGUGAUUGCGUUGCAAUGCGUCAAAUUCCUCCUUCAUCACGGCGAACCACAUGGGGUCACGAAGCGCGGAACGGGCGGAGGUUGGCAGGGGUGACGGUGACGAGGAAGACGUCGAAGCCACGCAUGUGUACUCAUCCGGAGGGUAGCGAGUGCUCGGCCGAUGGACACCCAGGCGCGACUGAGUGACAGGGCCAGCGGGUGGUGGCACAACAGCAGCCACCGGUGCUGGCGCCAAGUCCGGCGGUGAAGAAGUCGGCGACACGUCCGGCUGCGAAGAGGCCGGCGACACGCCCGGCUGCGAAGAGGCCAGGGCAGAAGCCGGCGAGGCCGGAGAGGCCGGAGAGGCCGGCCCAGAGGCCGGCGCGGAGCCCGGCGAUGAAGUAGCCGGAGAGGUCGGCUCGGAGGCCGGCGUGGGUCCUGGCGAUGAAGCAGCCGGAAAGGCCGGCGCGGUGGCCGGCUCGGAGGCCAACGUGGAGGCCGGCUCGGAGGCCGGUGAGCCUGGAGAAGCAGCGGGCAAGAGCCGGAGUGCCGCGCGUCCAGGGGGCGCCCUACGCCGUGGGGCGAAGCCAGGGCGGAUAGGGUCGGCCAAAGAGGGGCCGGGCGCCGAUGAAGAAGCCGCCUGCUGUUCCUGUUUAAUGGGAAAACACAACUCGUCGAAAUAAACAUGGCGGGAUGUGAUGACACGGUGGGAAACCAGAUCAUAGCAUCUAUAGCCCUUGGUGUUAGCCGGGUAACCGAGGAAGACACACGGAAGGGAACGUGGGACAAGUUUAUGAGGAGAGGUGGCGGCAAUACUAGGAUAACAAAGACAACCGAAAAUACGAAGACCGUCGUAUGAAGGAGGAGGCCCGAAGAGGAGGUGGUGAGGUGUAAAGUUCCACCGGGUGCGACAGGGACGAAGGUUAAUGAAGAGGGUGGCAGUAGCGAGAGCGUCGGGCCAGAAGCGAGGUGGCAUGUAUGCGUGGAAGAGGAGGGUACGGACGCAAUCGUUAAGAGUGCGAAGAAUGCGUUCCGCCGAUCGUUCUGCUGUGAAGUGUAUGGACAGGUAAGAUGAAAAAUAGUGCCAUGUCUGGAGAGAAGAUUGCGGAUGGUGGUGUUGUCGAAUUCUUUCCCGUUGUCUGUUUGCAAAGCUAGAAUGGGACGACCAAUUUGCCUAGACAUGUAAGAGUAGAAGGACAUAAGGGUGGCAGCAACUUCAGACUUCUUACGUAAUGGAAAGGUCCACACAAACUGAGAAUAGUCAUCCAAAAUAACAAGAUAAUAUGAGAAACCAGUGUUACUAGCAACAGGAGAGGUCCAGACAUCACUAUGGAUUAACUCAAAAGGUAAUGACGCAACUGUGGAUGAAGCACUAAAGGGAAGGAGAACAUGUUUGCCUAGACGGCAUGCGUGACAAGAAUGCGCAUCCGUUUUAUUACAUGUAAAAGAAAAAUCCCGAAUAAUUUGACGAAGAGCGAUGGAGCUAGGAUGACCGAGACGGGCGUGCCAAAGAUCAACGCCGGCGGAGAGUGCAACUGGUCUAGCAUGUGAAGAUGAUGGAUGCUGGACGGAGUAUGUAUCGCCGGGACUGUCACAGCGGUGAAGAACCAUCCGGGUGAGGGCGUCCUUAACAGAAAAACCAACUUUGUCAAAUUCCACGGUUACAGAGUUAUCACGAGAAAUCUUACAAACACAAACUAAAUUCUGAAUAAGCUCAGGAGACACGAGAACAUUAUUGAGAUAAAGUGGUCUAGAGUUGGAGGGAAAACUUGUGGAACCAAUAUGAGUGACAGGAAGACCAGCACCAUUACCGACAAUGAUACGAGAGGAAGUGUGAAUAGGAGACGCGAAAGAGAGGUUACCCGGGUAAGCGGCCAUGUGCGAAGAUGCACCAGUGAUCAUAAACCAAUCGCCACCGCCGGUAUAAGCCCCGGUCGGAGGCUGUUGAUGAAGUGCAGCAAGCAGGGCCGGAUCAUAAGAGACCGGCGCGGGGUAGCCCGAGUAGCCGGUCACGCCAGUGCUAGUAGGUGGCCUGCAAUAGCCAACUGGAGCAGGAGUGUAGUAGGGUGGUGGAGCGACCGGACCGGAUUGCUGACCAGCGAAGAAGGCCUGAUGACCGGAGGGACCGGGCCCGAGGAGGCUUGGAGCAGGGGGGCGGGGCACGGGCAUAGUGUAUGCGUGCACAAACCCGGUCCAGGGGUUGUGGCCACCCCCCCAAGGCGGCGUCGGCUGCUGCUGAACGGGCCCGGCGCGCGGCUGUUGUGGCUGCUGCUGGCCUUUGCCGCGGCCAUGGCGCCUCUGGCGCUGCUGCUGCUGCUGCGGCAAGUGUUGGGGAGGAGCCACAGGAGCGGCAGGGGCCAGAGGCCGCUGCUGGUACGGGGCGCCGUAGGCGCCGUGCUGCGCUGGAAGAGCCGGUGGCCGGGGCGCCUGGAACGGCGCUGGAAAGCCGGGGGGCGCACCCGAGGGCGGAGGGCCACCGCGCGAGUAGCCGGCGGCGAAGGCGGUGUGAACGGCACGGGAGCGAAGAUGCUUUAACCGGCGUUCCUCGAGACGAAGAUAGGCCACCGCCCGCUCGUAGGUAGGGUUCGCCAUGAGGGUGAGGUUGGAGGCAGCGUUGCCAAGAUCCUCAUUGAGGCCGGCGGUGAGGUUGGAGAGGAGCAACUCGUCGCCCACCUUGAAGCCGACGUCAUUGAGCUCGUCGGAGAGGGUCUUGAGGCGCAUACAGUAGUCGUCGACGGAGGAGUCAUUUUGAUGACACCUGAAUAACUCCUGUUGCAGGAAGACGACCCGUUGGAGCUUGUUGUCGGUGAAGAGACCGACGAUCUUGUUCCACACCGUGCAUGCAUCGUCCUUGUCGCGAACGACGGUGUGGAAGAUGUCCUUGGACACGGUGAGGAAGAGCCACCGGAUGAUGGUGGCAUCGAUCGCCAGCCAGUCGGCGUCGCGGUUCAGGACGAAGAGGUUGGCGGUGUCGUCGAUGUGGUCCUGCAGAUUAUACUCACGAAAGAGGAGAUUGAAGUAUGUCUUCUAAGCAUAAAAAUUCGCCUCUUUGUGGGAGAGGAUCACCGGGACACGACGUUCGAUGGGAACAUCGCGAAUGUAGGCGGGAUCGGGAAGGGUGGAGGCGGAGGAGCCGGCGGAGGAGUCAAAGGGGUUCGGCGGCUUCACUAUGGGAGGAGUGCAGGCGGCGGACUGGUCGGAGAGGUGGGAACCCGACAUGGCAGCGGCUAGGGUUAGGUGCGGCCGGGGUGUGUUUAGGGUUUCUGGUGGAUGGCCGGCGCGGGGGCUAGCGGCGAGGGGGCUGGUGGCUAGCGGCGGCCUGGGAGAAGAUCGCGAGUGGGCGAGCGGCGGCAGGAAGCCAGCGGCGCGGGGGAGAAGCUAUGGCGGCGGUGAGGACUCGGCGACGCGGGCGUAGGCUGGGAAGCGGCGGCGGCUGGGAGGCAACGGCGACGCGCUUAGGGUAGGAGGGAUCGGACUACGGUUGAUACCAUGUAGAGAAUUAUGCAACUCACGAUAUAUUGAUCGGGUGUAAUAUGCACGUAUAUAUAAGUACAAAGGAUAGCCACGUCCUCAACUAUACAUGGAAGGAGGAGGGCUUGUUGUAUAAGAAAUACACAUAUAAUAUGUACAUCUCAACACAUAUAAAUAAAGUUACUAGAUUCUUUAGGACCGUGUCCAUACAUGAGUGCGUAUUCAUACUGUUAAAACCCACAAAUGUACUGCAUGCUUAUAUAACAUGAUCUCGACCUAUGUCAUAAUUUUAUGUGUCUCCGCUUAAUGUGAAAUACAAUUAGUGAACCUACGAACCCGGUCCAAUUCCCUUAUAAUGAAAAUCUCCAAAUCAAUUUUAUAUAUGCAUUUUUAUUUGCACUCAUUAUUUAUUUCGAAAAUUCAAAAUACGUUAUACCAAAUUCUAUAUCUAUUACUCCCUCUGUUUGGAAUUACUUGUCAUAAAAAUGAAUGUAUCUACAACUAAAAUACAUUUAGAUACAUUCAUUUCUUGGACGAGUAAUUCCGAACGGAGGAAGUAUUUCUUACAACUAACAAAGCUAGUGAGAUUGACAAUUAAGUUUUUAAUUUAUUGUUGUGCUUCUUGACGGAGAGUGUUAUCUCUAUGGGUUGGUACUUUGGCUUCUCAACUGAGAGAAUAACAGUCCACCGCUAAAAACCUUUGCACUUGGGGACCCCAACAGUUGGAUACCAAUCUAUAUGUAUUGGAGCAAGUAAGUUUUUUUUUCUGAUACCAUUCUCGAGGAGGUAACAUUAAGUUCUCUAAGGUAAUAUUGUGAAUUAAUUUUACUUUCUUGUUAUUUACUUCAUUUAAUUAUAUUUUUCAUAACUAUAACUAAUUCUUUCUUGAGUCACACCCCAUUCUAUGUGGAAAAAUUGCCAAGAUUAAAAAACGUCAACAAAAUUCUAAACUAAUAAUCGUCAUGAAGUCAAUGGAGAAAAGCAAGUAAAAAGAUGAAGUGAAAGGGAAUAUGAAGGACAAAGUCAACAAGGCAAGAAGUAAAGAGGCCCAAGUCUAGAAGUGGCGGAAGCGGCCAAAACCCAUCAUGGUGGAGGAAUGAGAGAGAUUGGUACACCAAAGGCUACAAAAUUUCUCCCUCUCCUAGCCCACCAUGGACCAUUUUUAUACCUUUUACCUAUCAUUUCAAGGGCCCGAGUGUAACAACUCUACUUGGGACGUGGAGUAUGUGAGCUUAAGCUCACAUGAUCUCGGAUGAAUAGUAAAAUAUGAAAAAAUAUUCAAAAAAAUCUGAUUUUUUUCUAGCAGGAAAUAUUGAUGUUUUUUCUAUAGACAUGCAAAUUUUCAUGAUGAAAUCACAUUUGUGAAGGUGUGGGCAAAAAAUAAAUGGAUGCUCCAAAGAGAGUGUUUAUGAAGCAUUUUGGAGUAUCAAUUUUGUUUUUAUUGCCCAGAUCUCCACAAAUGUGAUUCCAUUGUGAAUUUUUUUCAUGCAUGUAGGGAAAACAUCAAUGUUUCUUGCAAAAAAAAGUCAGAUUUUUUUUACUAAUUCGGAUUUAUUGUUCAUCUCUAAUCAUGUGCUCGAGCUCACAAUAGGACAUUCGCUCUACUUCUUCUAUGAGAUUGUACCAAGAUAAUGUUACAAUUGAUAAGUACAAAUAUGCCUUCAAUGAGUUGAGUUCUAUGUAGACGACUAUAUUGGAGUAUGAUGGUGUAGGAAACUGCCAGAUCCCUCGUUAGGGGUCCAAGCGCAGUUGGAAGCCACCAAUCAGAUGGCACAUGAGGGUUUUACCCAGGUUUCGGCCUCCGGAGAUUAAGACCCUACAUCCUACUUGUUCUUGAUAUUCAUUGUGAAGAGAUACCUCUUGCGUGGGGUUAUAGUGGUGUAUGAGAUUUCUACUGAAAGUUUCUAUCUGAGAGCAGAUGGUGAUGAGAGCCCUCUAGCCUCCUGUUAUAUAGAUGGUGGAGGCCAGGGUUCUAUAGAUGGGCAAAUGCGAUCUGGGGCGCCGUAGCAAGGUGUCCUAUGGCUUUUAUCUUCUCCUUGGAACGUCGGAGUUGGGGUGGUGCUCUCAUCGGGUGAUGACUCUGAGCACGUUGCUACCAAUGAAGAUGCCAUUUGAUAAUAUGCCCUAGAGGCAAUAAUAAAUUAGUUAUUAUCAUAUUUCCUGUUCAUGAUAAAUGUUUAUUAUUCAUGCUAGAAUUGUAUUGACCAAAAACUUGAAUACUUGUGUGAAAACAUAAACUACACCGUGUCCCUAGUAAGUCUCUACUAGACUAGCUCGUUGAUCGUCAAAGAUGGUUAAGGUUUCCUAAUCAUAGACAUGAGUUGCCACUUGAUAAUGGGAUCACAUCAUUAGGAGAAUGAUGUGAUGGACAGACCAAACCAUAAGCAUAGCAUCAGAUCAUUUAGUUAUUUGCUAUAGCUUUCUUCAUGUCAAGUAUCAGUUACUUAGACCAUGAGAUCAUGCCACUCCCGGACAUCGGCCGGGGGAAUACUUUGUGUGUUAUCAAACGUCACUUCAUAUCUGGGUGAUCAAAAAGGUAGUCUACCGGUAUCUCUGAAGGUGUCUGUGGGGUUGCAUGGAUCAAGACUGGGAUUUUUUACUCUGAGUGACGGAGAGAUAUCUCUGGGCCCUCUCGGUAAUACAACAUCUCACAAGAAGCUUCAUGUGCCUAAUGAGCUUAGUCACGGGAUCCUGUAUUACGAUACGAGUAAGGAGACUUGCCAGUAACGAGAUUGAACUAGGUAUGGAGAUACCAACGAUCGAAUCUAGGGAAGUAACAUAUCACUGGACAAAGGGAAUUGCAUAUGGGAUUAACUGAAUCCUUGACAUCGUGGUUCAACUGAUAAGGAUCUUCGUUGAAUAUGUAGGAACCAAUAUGGGCAUCCAGGUCCCGCUAUUGGCUAUUGACCGGAGAGGAGUCUUGGUCAUGUCUGCAUGUUCGAUAGUGCUAGGGUAGUAAUCAGAUAUUAAUAGCGAAAAGUCCGAAGGUUGUUCGGAGUCCGAGAUGGGAUCUGGGAUAUCACGAGGAGCUCUUGAAUGGUUCGGAGGUAAAGAUUUAUAUAUGGGAAGUCAUAUUUUGGGUUCCUGAAAAAGUUCGGUUUUUUCGGUAUUGUACCAGGAAGGUUCUAGAAGGUUCCAGGAGUUCCACCAUGGGGCCCAACUACUCGGGAAGGGCCCAUAUGGACCGAGGGGUGGGGCUAUAUCCCACAUAGGCUGGCCGCACCAUUCCCCAAGGCACAUAUUGUUUAUCUCCAAGUUUAAAGUGAUUUCUCCCAUGUGGCCGGCCCUAGGAGGGUUUUGGACGCCCUCCCCUGCCCCCUAGCCUAUAUAUAGAAAGCGGAGGCACAUGGGGGCAGCCACCCCUUCACCCUUGCACAUUGCCUCUCCCAACUCCUCACAUGUUCCUCCGAUACACGCUUGGAGAAGCCCUGCCAGAAUUCCACUUCUGCCACCACCACCAUACUGCCUGGCCGGUUCUGAUCUCAUCUACCUCCUCUGUUUCUCUUGCUAGAUCAAGAAGGAGAGGACGCCAUCGAACUGAACGUGUGCUAAUCUUGGAGAUGUCUUUUGUUCAGCACUAGAUCAGAUUGGACCGAGAUUGGAUCAUGAAGAGUACGACUACAUCAACCGCAUUACGUCAUUAACACUUUCGGUCUACAAGGGUAUGUAGACACACUCCCCUCUUGUUGCUAUACAUUUUCUAGAUUAGAUCUUGGGUGUUCGUAGGAUUUUUUUUUUAUUUUCGUGCUUCAUUCCCCAUCAGUGGCAUCAUGAACUAGGUCUAUGCGAAGAUGUAUAUGCACGAGUAGAACACAAAGUUGUUGUGGGCGUUGAUGUUCAGAUUGCUUACUUCCCAUGUCUUAUUUGGAUUCGGUGGUAUUGUAGGAUGAAACGGCUUGGACCAACCUGACAUGUCCUCGCACAUGAGACCGGCUCCACUGUUUGACAUGCAACUUGUAUUGCAUAAAAGUGGCUUUGCGGGUAUCUGUCUUUCCUACUUUAGUUGAAUCUAAUUUGACGAGGGUGGUCCUUGUAGAAGGUUAAAAGGCAACCAUCAUAUCACCGUUCUGGUUUUGCGUAGAUAAGAAUAGUUCUUAUAGUUUGCCUCAGCAGCCACAUAAAAAUUGCAACAACAAAGUAGAGGAUGUCUAACUUGUUUAUGCAGGGCAUGUUGUGAUGUGGUAUGGCCAAAAUGUGAUGUGAUAUAUGUUGAUGUCUGGGAUGAUCAUGUUUUAUAAUAGGUUCACGACUUGCAUGUCGAUGAGUACGGCAAUCGGCAGGAGCCAUAGUGUUAUCUUUAAUGUAUUGUAUGACAUGCAUGUCAAUCAUUAAACAUCAUGCAAUUGCUUUACUUUAUCGCUAUGCAUUAACAAUAGUUAUAGAAGAAGUAGUUGGUGGAGAAAACUGCGAUGACGACACAAUGAUGGAGAUCAUGAUGAUGGAGAUCAUGGUGUCAUGCUAGUGAAGAUGGAGAUCAUGCCGGUGCUUUCGAGAUGGAGAUCAAAAGCCCAAGAUGAUAAUGGCUAUAUCAUGUCACAUAUUGAUUGCAUGAUAUGUUUAUCCUUUUAUGCAUCUUAUUUUUCUUAGCACGACGGUAGCAUUAAAUUAUGCACUUGAAAACAUACGUAGUUCCCUUUGUCCAUCGGUAUGUUACUUGCCCGAGAUUCGAUCAUUGGUAUCUUCAUACCUAGUUCAAUCUCAUUACCGGCAAGUCUCUUUACUCGUUCUGUAAUAAAUCACCUCGUGACUAACUCCUUAGUCGUUUGCUUGCAAGCUUGUGAUGUGUAUUACCGAGAGGGCCCAGAGAUACCUCUCCGAUACUCGGAGUGACAAAUCAUAAUCUCGAUAUAUGACAACUCAACAAACACCUUCGGAGAUACAUGUAGAGCAUCUUUAUAAUCAUCCAGUAACGUUGUGACAUUUGGUAGCACACAAGGCAUUCCUCCGGUAUCCGGGAGUUGCAUAAUCUCAUAGUCGAAGGAAUAUGUAUUUGACAUGAAGAACGCAAUACCAAUAAAGCUGAACGAUCAUUAUGCUAAGCCAACGAAUGAGUCUUGUCCAUCACAUCAUUCUCCUAAUGAUAUGAUCCCGUUAUCAAAGGACAACUCAUGUCCAUGGUUAGGAAACCUUAACCAUCUUUGAUCAACGAGCUAGUCUACUAGAGGCUCACUAGGGACAUGUUGUUUGUUUAUGUAUUCAUACAUGUAUUAAGGUUUCCGAUCAAUACAAUUCUAGCAUGAAUAAUAAACCUUUAUCUUGAAUAAGAAAAUAUAAAAUAACAACUUUAUUAUUGCCUCUUGGGCAUAUUUCCUUCAAAUCCGAAGUCAAGUUUUUUUUUUCUUGCUAAGAAUAGGUCCUUUCUAGAGAAGGAGAUUCUCUCGAAAGAAGUGAGUAAGAGGAAAGUAAAACUUGAUGAGGUAGUCGCACCUUCUCUCGAACUGGAGAGUAGCACAUCAUAGAAAUAAGUUCCCGUGAUGCCUACACCAGCCAGAGAGGAAGCUAAUGACGAUGAUCAUGAAACUUUGAACCAAAUUACUACUGAACUUCGUAGGUCAACCAGGGUACGUUCCGCACGAGAGAGGUAUGGUAAUUCAUCCUGUCCUCAAAGUCAUGUUGUUAGAAAAUGAUGAACCUACGAACUAUUAAGAAGCAAUGAUGAGCCCGGAUUCUAACAAAUGGCUAGAGGCCAUGAAAUCCAAGAUAGGGUCCAUGUGUGAAAAAAAAAAAGUAUGAGCUUUGGUGGACCUGCCCGAUGACUGGCAGGCCAUUGAGACCAAAUGGAUCUUUAAGAAGAAGACACACACAGAUGGAAAUGUCACCGUCUAUAAAGCUCGGAGACAGUGAAGGUGACAAGGACGACGACUUGACCUCGAUCUAGAUCGACUACACGUGGUUCUGCUCGUGGACGUGGUCGGUUGAAAGUUCAAUAUUUUACCUUGGACCAUUAUGCCCUUCUCGGAUUACACAAAUUAGAAUUAAUCCCCCACCAGCGGACGGCUAAUAAAAUUCGGAGGGGGAGGGGCAAGUACUUGGUAGUACUCCCAAUACUACACCAAUCACCAAAAGGAGCUCUACAAUGCCUAGAAAAAUUGAAAAGUAGUCCCUCCGUCUCAUAAUAUAAGAGCUUUUUUGACACUAGUGUGGGAUGGAGAGAGUACAUAACAUUACUUUUGAUUAAUCCCAAGCCUUGUGCAAUCCCAUGUUAAUGUGAAAUAAGCGUGUAAAUUACAAUGGAUCUAACAAAACAAAUUCUUACUCUAACUGCAAUGUCAAACCAUGCAUACUAUGGUCAAACCAUGCAUAUAGCAUUUACUAGUAUUAUAUAGGGUCCGCGAUACAUCAUAUCGUGGCGACUGUUCUGUUUUUAAGCCACUAGUAAACGAGCACGUGCAACGCACAUGUAAUCUUAAUCUGGCUUGAAGAUAUACCUGGAUUUUCUUUAGGAAAGUAGCAUCAAAGGAAAUAGUGUGUGUAAGCACCUCCAGCGGCAGGUCAAUCUCUUGCUUCAAAUGGGUUGAAAUUGUACUAAUCCAACGUAGUUAAUGGUAUAUGCAAGUGACCAGGUGAGGGGGCACAUACCUUGUCCUCAGGCUGCUAAAAGAGACAUCCAAAAAUCUAAGCACAAUCCAUUCAAAUCAGCACAAUUGAUCCACCACCCAGCUUAACCAAAAGUUCUAUAUCAUUGUGUAACCUAGUUGUUUCAUGGUGCAUGUUGGUAAUGAAGCGUAAUAAAUGUUGAAUGUAUGCACACAAGGCUGCUUUUUGUUCACUUUUACCAAGUGUUCGCACACGAACACGUCACGUGUACCCUCGAUGCCGGGGGUGGUGCACCGCAGCUCACGUCGAAGGAGUCUCACCGGAAGCGCGAUUCGCAAGUCGACCGGCGAGAGCUUUUGAAGACCCGAAACCCUACACUCCCGGGAGGGACCCCGUUGGGGAGUGCGGCGGCUAUGGGCUGCCCUAGAUCGGUCAAGCCGCCCCUAGAGCCUCGGUAUUCGCAGCUCUCCAACAUGAAGAACGAUGAAGAAUGAGGGAGCAAGAACGAGGGAGGAACAAAACGUAGAUGAAAAAGUUGUAGAUGCGUUUGCGAUUGUGUGUUGUUCAAUCGGCCGUCACCUCUCAUCUAUUUAUGAGGCGGCUGGACUUCCCGUACAAGAAAAGGACUAAAAAUUCCGUCCAAAACAUCAAAAACCCUAACCUAACUCGGACAGGAAUCUUUGGUAAUUUCUCGGACCAACUCGGUCUCACCGACUGGUUCAUUUCGGUCCCACCGAGUGAACGUUGCCAACUCUCUGUAUCCUUCUGUAAUUUUUCGGAUCAACUCGGUCUCACCGAUUAUUUUGCUUCGGUCCUACCGAGUCAACAUUGCCAACUCUCUGGUAAAUUUUCGGACCAACUCGGUCUCACCGAUCAAAACAAUUCGGUCUGUCCGAAAUGACUUUGCAGCUUCUGUUUCUGACCUUGUUUUGCCUCCACAGGUUGCAUACGACCUUGGAUUAAGACGAUUUUUAUAUCAAAAUUGACCGUUUCGACGAGACGAAGACAACUCAUGUUGAUAAUUUUUCCAUAUGAGGACAUAUUAAUUGGGUUUCCAGCUAUUCUUUAAUCUGGUGCAACAUGAGCAUAUCUAAAUUUGUCAUAACUUUUGCAUCCGAGCUCCGUUUUAGACCAUUUUCUUAUCCAUCUUGAUCUUCUCGAAAAGAUCCAUCCCCGUGGUGACCUCCAAUCAUAAGUUUGAAUUAAUCUUGACAUAGCUUAAAGAAACUUUUACCAUUGUGCCACUUUUGAGCGUCAACACAUGCCCCCCUGUUUUUCGGCAAAGUUAGGGUACCGAAAAAUAACUUGUACCAUAUUUGUUCUAAGGACGAUGUCAACACUCCAUCGGCCAUUUAUAUGUUCUUAGGGUGAUAAUUAUAUAUCGGCCAUGUUUAUGCUAAGGGCGAUAGUUAUAUAUCGGCCGUUUGCCUAUCUAGGCUUCUUGCCACACACUUGGGUGAUACUUCUUUAAAUAUUUGCCAUUGAGAGCUCGAGGUAAUAAUGUGCCUUGUACGGAUUCCACCAAAUAUGAGUUUCCGGGAACCACUCUUGUAAUCUUAAAAGGACCUUCCCAACUUGGAGACCACUUCCCGAACUUUCUAUCUUUUGAACCAAUUGGUAGAAUCACCUUCCACACGAGAUCGCCAAAUUGAAAAUUCUUCAACUUGACCUUCUUAUUGUAAGCUCUUGCCACCCUCAACUUAUCACUCUCUAUGGCCUUUAAAGCAACCAAACGUUUAUCGGCAGCUUCAUCAAUAUUGUCCAUCAUCAAGUUAUAGAAGUCCACAGCCGAUAAAUCAUUUUGUUUGGCUAUUCUCAAAGCAUUCAAAUUCACUUCCACUGGUAAAACAGCCUCCUGACCAUAUACGAGCUCAUAUGGAGUCACCUUUGUAGCACCAUGCCUUGAGAUCCUAUGUGCCCACAAAGCUUCGGACAAUAGCUCAUGCCAUCUCCUUGGAUUAUCCUCAAUCUUCUUCUUGAUGAGCUUGAUUAAUAUUUUAUUACUAGACUCAGCUUGUCCAUUGGCUUGGGCAUAAUACGGAGAGGAAUUGAGCAACUUUAUCUUAUAUGAUUCAGCAAAUUCUCUUACUUGAUGUGACAUAAAGGAUGAACCUUGGUCCGUAGUUAAUGUUUGAGGAAUGCCGAAUCUAUGAAUAAUAUGCUCAGUUAUGAAUUGAAUUAGGUUUGUAUGUGUCAUAUUUUUGAGUGGUAUUGCUUCAGACCAUUUAGUGAAAUAAUCAGUCGCCACCAACACGAGCCGAUGCCCCUUUGAAGAAGAAGGAUGAAUCUCUCCAAUAAAGUCUAAUCCCCAACCUCUAAAAGGCCACGGCUUGAUAAUAGGAUGUAACAUAGCAGCAGGAGCCAACUGAAUAUCACCAAACUUUUGACAAGCUUCACAUCCUUUAUAAUACCGGAAGCAAUCAUUAACCAUCGUCGGCCAAUAAAACCCAGCACGUCGUAAUAGCCAUUUCAUCUUGGGAGCCGACUGAUGAGUGCCACAAAUACCUUCAUGGACCUCUCCCAUAGCAACUCUCGCUUGGUCCUCGUCCAAGCACUUUAAAAGAACAUCAUCAACCGUUCGGCGAUAGAGACCAUCAUCUCUCAUUGUGUAUUUGAAAGCCAUACACCGAACAAUCAUGUCCACCCUUUUACUAGGAUCACACAAAUAAUCAAUAAUGGGUUUCCUCCAGUCUUGAUUUUCUCCUGCAUUAAAUUUUUCAUUAGUGGCCGAAACGGUGGGCUCCGAUUCGGCCUCCCCUAUGUUGGCAAGACUAGACAUCGGCCUUUGAGAAAUAUGAAACAUGCCACGAUCAACAUGAUAGCCGAAUGCUUGUUGUGCCAACUCAUUUGCUCUCCAAUUGUCAUGUCUAGAUAUAUGAGCAAUGCUAAAAUAAUCCAAAUCUGAAAUUAUAUCUAGACAUUUAUCAAGAUAAACAUUAAGUAAUUCGUCAAAACAUUGAAAGACUUUGGAUAUUUUUUUCACUACUAAUAACGAAUCACCAAAAGCCUCAAUAUGUGUAGCACCUAUGGCAAGCAACAUCUCUAAGCCGAAUAACAGUGCUUCAUAUUCAGCUUGAUUAUUUGUGCAAAAGUAUUCUAAGAGGCAUGAGGCUUCAAAAACAGCACCAUGAGGAGAUAUAUAAACAAUACCAACACCUUGUCCAUUGCUACACACUGAACCAUCAAAAUAUAAUCUCCAUUGUACUAAUGAAACAAAGUUUAUAUCAAUAUCAUGCUUUUCAUCAAUCUGAUGCUCAACAAUAAAAUUAGCAACAAUUUGGCCUUUCAUGGGUUUCAGAGAUUCAUAAGCCAAAUCAUAUUCAAUUAAAGCAUAAGCCCACUUGCCAAUUCUACCACUAAGAAUUGGCCUAUGCAACAUGUAUUUGAUGACAUCAGUUUUACAAGCUAUAAUGCAAGUACUAGGCACUAGAUAAUGUCUCAAUUUUGUGCAAGAAUAAUAUAAGCAUAAGCAUAGUUUCUCAAUAAAUGUAUACCUUGUCUUGGCGUCCAAUAACCGUCGGCUCAAAUAAGUAAUAGCAUGCUCCUUUCCUUCGGUCUCUUGAGUCAAAAUAGCACCAAUAACACCCUCCUCCGCUGCAACGUAAAGUAUAAAUGGCUCCCUGUGCCUGGGCGCUUUCAUAACCGGAGGAGUGCACAAAUAUUUCUUAAUUAUAUCAAAUGCCUCUUGCUGUUUUGCCCCCCAAGUAAAAUCAACAUCAUUCUUUAACCGAAGGAUAGGAGUAAAUGCAUCAACCUUCCCUGAUAGAUUGGCUAUGAACCUCCUCAAAUAAUUGACCUUGCCAAGGAAUUUUUGCAUAUCUCUCUUGCAUGUUGGAGCCCCUACUUUCUGUAUAGCUUCUAUCUUUUUGGGAUCAAUUUCCACGCCAUCUUCAUGAAUAAUGAAACCCAGAAACUUCCCAGCCGAUACACCAAAGGCACACUUCAAAGGAUUCAUUUUCAGCCCAUAUUUCUUCAUUCUUUCAAAAGCCAAACGCAAAUCGGCUAAGUGAGAUUCAAAAGCAUCUGAUUUGACAACAAUAUCAUCAAUAUAAACCUCAAGUAUAACACCAAGUAAAUCAUGAAAAAUUAAAUUCAUAGCCCUUUGAUACGUGGCACCGGCAUUUUUUAAUCCAAAGGUCAUCACUGUCCACUCAAAUAAACCAAGAAAACCGGGACAUCGAAAAGCCGUUUUGGACAUGUCCUCUUCGGCCAUAAAAAUCUGGUUAUACCCCGCAUUACCAUCAAGAAAGCUAAUGACCUUAUGUCCAGAAGCAUCAUUGAUAAGAAUAUCGGCUAUUGGCAUGGGAUACUCAUCUUUAGGUGUAGCUCUAUUCAAAUCUCUGAAAUCAAUGCACACCCUCAACUUGCCAGAGCCUUUCUUCUCUACUGGUACAAUGUUAGAAAUCCACUCGGCAUAACUACAUGGUCUACUAAAAUUAGCUUUAAGCAAACGACCGAUCUCUUCCUUGAUCUGGUCAUAUGUUUUUGGAUUAAACUUUCUGGCCGAUUGCUUGUAUGGUCUAAAAUCGGCCUUUAUAGGUAACCGAUGCUCCACUAGCUCUCGGCUUAAACCCGGCAUCUCAUGAUAUUCCCAUGCAAAGCAACAAACAUAUUCUUUCAAUAGCUCGAUCAACUUAGCCUUAUGAUCGGCUCUUAAAUUUUCGUUUACAAAUGUCGGCCUAGGAAUUGAACCAUCUCCUAUAUCUAUCUCUUCUAAUGGAUCGGCCGAUGUAAAACCUUGUCCUAACUUAUCCAUAUCAUCUAACUCUUCUAUGGACUCAUACAUAUCGUUCUCAUUGGACCGAUAUUCUACAAGACGCUUUUGUAACCACUCUGAGUUAGGAUCCAUUUAAAUACAUCAUACCUUGGAGCCGAUUAUCGCCAACCGGCUUUAAAGAAACGGGCACGAAACCACUUUUUGUGGCGCUAAGAAAAUCAUAUUCUGAUAAGUCGCGCCCCGUCAAGCAAGUAGCAUUGGGAUGUUGCCAAUCCACCGAUGCAUCGGCCAAAGCAACACAAGCCGAAUUAUCCGCAUGAAUGACUUCUACUUCAUCAUCAACCCAUUGAAUCAAAAACUGGUGCAUAGUAGAUGGCACGCAUUGGUUCGCAUGAACCCAAUCACGGCAUAAUAUCACAUUGUAGUUACCUUGCACCUCGGCGACAAAGGAUGCGGUAGCCAAAGUUUUGCUUCCCACCGUAAGCUCCACAUACAUCACACCUUUGGCUUCAGUUUUCUCUUUGCCUUCAAAUUCAUUAAGCACCAUGUUGGUCUUUAUUAACUCUUCAUCACGCAGCCCCAAUUUUUUGAAGACCGAAUAUGGCAUAAGAUUCACCACAGCACCACCAUCGACAAGCAUUCUAGCAACCGGCGAUCCAUUAAUAUGACCUUUAAGGAACAAUGGCUUCAAGUGCGUCGCCGGUUCUUUUGGCUUCUCGAAUAUAGCAUUUUUAGGACCAAAAUCUAGCUGAGCUACUUCCCCUUCUUUACCUAUAGCACGAAAUUCAGCGGGUAAGUAAUACACCAUAUUAAUAUCCAUACCUUCAUGAACUGGUGUAGACUCAUAAUCAAGCAUUUCAUCUCCUUCCGCAAGCAUGUCCACUGACUCCGAAAUAUCUUCAAAGGAAGAGGAAGUAGUAGGCAAAGUGGACGAUGUAAUAGUAGCCGCAUCGUCCUCCAUUGGUGGUGUAGGUGCUGCUAUGAUCAAUGCAGAAGCUGCAAUCUUUUCCUUUUGCUUUGGCCUCCACACUUGUUUUGGGGGUACCAUGGGAUGGCUUUCAUCGAAUAAUUUAUCCCUUAGCUUUUCUGCUUCUUGUUCCUCCUUCUCAUGACUCCUCAUGCGCUGCAAUCUCCUUUUUUGCGCCUUGGUCAGACCGGAAGGACACCACUUAGGCUGAGUAUAUUUUGGAUCCUUCGACUUGGCCUUGCUUAUGCUAGCUUCAUGAUCAUUAGCCAUGGGGCCUUGCUGGACCGCAGCCACAUCUUUAUUAGAAUUAGCCGGAUUAUCAAAAAUAAUUGGCUCUUUGAUUAUUAAUUAUUUAGUGCCUAUCAUAAUAGUUUCAUCACUAGCAUUCUUCUUCUUUUGCUUGCUAGGCUCUGAAAUUUCAGCACUUGGUGAUUUGGCACGCCACGGUUGACCCUUUUUUGAUUAUCUUGCAUUGGCCGAUUGACACCAUUGUUCAAACGGCCUCGUGUGGGAUAAGAAAGCCUCUCAUGAACGGGCCUCCUUGGUUCUGCCCAACCCGGAUGAAAAGCAUAAGGGGCCAUUGGGGGCUGCCCCCAUCCUCCAUUGAGGCCUCCCAUGUAGUAUGGCGCAUAGGGGGGCGGUGCCAUCCAUGGUCUUGGUGCCCAUGACCCAUAUGGCCUUGUGUGAUGAUGAGAUUCUUCCCUCGGAGGUGAUCUUGAGAGCUUCAAAUUUGAUGAGUGGUUAGAGCUAGAACCGGCCGCUUGAUUGGCAUACUUGGACAACAGCAUAUCAAAAGUUGGCUUGAUUCUCUUGCGCUGCACUUUAGCUUCAUUCGUCUUCCACUUGCCAACCUCUGGACUCUUGGGCUUAACAAAUUUGACAUGAGUGUUCUCUUGCACUUGUGAUUGCCCCCCGAGUGUAGGAUUCUUGAUGGUGAUCUUGAUUACCUCCUUGCCACCGGGUUGCUUGUCAAGCACAGCUUGUCUCCCCAAGACCUUGUUGCUCUCGUCAGUUUUCCUGGGCUCACCAAUGACAAUAUUAUUUUUAUUAGCUGAUUUGGCUAUGUUGGGCCGAAUUAACAUCUUCUUCCCCUCCAAAUCCAUGGUGUUCAUUGGGAAAGGCUGCUUAUCAACUUGCAUUUCAGAAAAAUUCAAUCGUCCGUCAUUAAUGGCCGAUUGUAUCUGUCGUCGAAAAACAUUACAAUCAUUAGUAGCAUGAGAAAAAGAAUUAUGAUACUUGCAAUAAGUACGCCGUUUCAGCUCUUCGAACGGCGGUAAAGUAUGAGAUAUUCUAAUAAUCUUGGCUUGCAACAAAGCAUCAAAUAUUCUAUCACACUUAGCAAUGUUGAAAGUAAAUUUCAUCUCUUCAUCGCGAUUCUUAUGAAUCGGCUUUAAAUCAUUGCAAGUAAAUGGUUUGGCCUUAGAUGGCCAAACAAAUUUAGCAGCAUAAAUAUCACCCUCAUCGUCCGAGUGGUCACUAUCAUACUCAACCAUAUUCAUUUUAGGACGAUCAGUUUUAUAUCUAUGCACCUCUUUAAGAUCUUUGCUUCGGCUUUCUUGAGCCAAAGCGCUUUGCAAGACUUGGUUGAUAUUUAAAAACUCAUGUCCUUCUAGCCUUUCUCUAAUGUGAGUUCUCAAACCACUAAGCACAAGAUCAGCCAAAUCUCUCUCGGUUAUCACCAAACUAUAGCACCGGUUUUUUGUAUCUCUAAAUCUCUUGACGUAAUCGAAGACCGAUUCAUCAUGCUUUUGUCUAACCGAUGUAAGAUGUGACAACUUAAGCUCGUUAUCACCACUAUAAAAAUGAUCAUGAAACUUUUGUUCCAAGUGAAACCAUGUAGUAAUACAACCAGGUGGUAACGCAGAAAACCACGAGAAAGCAGUACUGGUUAAAGAUAAAGGAAAAUAACGUACUCUCCACUCAUCUCGUGAAAUUGCCUCACCUAAUUGUGCCAAGUACCGACUAACAUGCUCCCAGGUGGUUUUCGUGCCCUCUCCAUUAAACUUAACAAAAAUCUGGAAUUUUAUAUCCCGGAGGGCAUUGAAUUGCAUCAAAGUAUUCUGGAUAUGGCUUUUGGUAAAUACGGUUCCUUGGUAACUCAACUCCAAAAUUCUCUCGGAGCAUCUUAGCCAUCUCCCCUCUAAGAUUAGCUAGACCAUCAUCCACGGUGGACGAUGCUUGUGGCGGUAGCAUAGGAGGAGUAGGGUUAGUAGUUGCAGGUGUGAAUUGUGGCAUGCAUGCCGAAUUGUAAUUCGGCAGUGAUCUAACAGUGUUUGCUCUUAUAGGUAGGGUUUGGUUCGGCAUCACCACCGAAUUUGGCAUACUCAUGAUAGGAUUAAUGGGUGCAGCAACAAUUUGAUUUGUGGGGCUAGGAUAAAAAUUCAUCAGCACGGGGGGCGCCGAUGAAAUAGGUAAAGUUGGACUAGGGAUUUCUGCGGUAGCAGGCACACCAACAUUACCACUGGAUGAUUGAGGCACACUAUUUUUAGCAUUACUAUUUUCCAAGAAAAUUUGGUAUAAAAGAUUAUUGCUAUCAGUAAUGCGACUAUCAAUUUCAGCCCAUACCUCAGGAGAGAAGGUAUUACUUUCAGAGGGUUUAACCUGUUCAUCAUGAAGAGGAGGAAACUUGAUUUCUCCAACCGGAGUGAUAUUGCCUUGACGAUCCUUUUUGAACUUAGCGAGGAACUCCUGCAUCUCCUUCUCUUCACGCGCCUUCUUGUACUCCUCAUAAGCUUGGCGAUGUUCCUCCGUUAACUCCUCAAAAUUGGGUUUGAUUAUGUUAUCGGCGUCGAUUUCCGAGGGCUUGGGAAUCUUGUCGUUGCCAGACAUGAUGGAUGAUGAUGAUCAUUGAUCUUGUCCCCAACGGAGUCGCCAAAAAGUGUGUUCGCACACGAACACGUCACGUGUACCCUCGACACCUGGGGUGGUGCACCGCAGCUCACGUCGAAGGAGUCUCACCGGAAGCGCGAUUCGCAAGUCGACCGGCGAGAGCUUUUGAAGACCCGAAACCCUACACUCCCGGGAGGGACCCCGUCGGGGAUUGCGGCGGCUAUGGGCUGCCCUAGGUCGGUCAAGCCGCCCCUAGAGCCUCGGUAUUCGCAGCUCUCCAACACGAAGAACGACGAAGAACGGGAGUGCAAGAACGAGGGAGGAACAAAACAUAGAUGAAAAAGUUGUAGAUGCGUUUGCGAUUGUGUGUUGUUCAAUCGGCCGUCACCUCUCAUCUAUUUAUGAGGCGGCUGGACUUCCCGUACAAGAAAAGGACUAAAAAUUCCGUCCAAAGCAUCAAAAACCCUAACCUAACUCGGACAGGAAUCUUUGGUAAUUUCUCGGACCAACUCAGUCUCACCGAUUGGUUCAUUUCGGUCCCACCGAGUGAACGUUGCCAACUCUAUGUAUCCUUCUGUAAUUUUUCGGAUCAACUCGGUCUCACCGAUUAUUUUGCUUCGGUCCUACCGAGUCAACAUUGCCAACUCUCUGGUAAAUUUUCGGACCAACUCGGUCUCACCAAUCAAAACAACUCGGUCUGUCCGAAAUGACUUUGCAGCUUCUGUUUCUGACCUUGUUUUGCCUUCAAAGGUUGCAUACGACCUCGGAUUAAGACGAUUUUAUCAACCGCUUCGACGAGACGAAGACAACUCGUGUUGAUCAUUUUUCCAUAUGAGGACAUCUUAAUUGGGUUUCCAACUAUUCUUCAAUCUGGUGCAACGUGAGCAUAUCUGAACUUGUCAUAACUUUUGCAUCCGAGCUUCGUUUUAGACCAUUUUCAUAUCCAUCUUGAUCUUCUCGAAAAGAUCCAUCCCGUGGUGACCUCCAAUCAUAAGUUUGAAUUAAUCUUGACAUAGCUUAAAGAAACUUUACCAUUGUGCCACUUUUGAGCGUCAACACCAAGCCUGAUUUUGGUUCAGUUUUUAGUGCAUACAGGCUGCUUUUCUGUUCAGUGAAAUGUGAAUUAAUCUUUUGUGGCGUGUCCCCUGAUGGCAGCGCUGACGACCUAGGCCAGGCGGCGUCUCCCUGACGGCCCGACGGAGAGGGACGGGCAUGCGGUCCAGGUAGUGUCCCUGAUGAUCCGACGACCCGACGCCAGCGAACGGCCAGGCAACGUCCCUGACAGUCCGACGAUGAUGCACGGCUAGGCGGUCCAGGCAACGACUCCGACGUGCCCCCGCCGGUCGGCCAGGUGGUCUAGGCGACGUCUCCGACAGCCGGCGUCCUUGAAGUUGCGGCGGUGUUGCUACGGCCGAGGCCACACAAAGGCGAGGGGUAGGGGUGGCACAGAGAUGUGAGGGGCUGCGUCCUUGAAGUUGUUGCAUCGCCGAAGCGAGAUGAUGGGAUGGUGUCGUGGGGCGGUUCGUGUGGUAGUUUCCUUUCCUGUGAAAGAUGGAACCAGAUUCUCUAACAUUGAGAAGAGAAGUCACUUUGCUACAAUGCUAGUCUAGUGUAAAAUGAAGAAGAAAAGAUAGUUAGCAGGUUGUUUACUGUUGAUAUAAAUAAUUUAAAAUUAAUUUUAUUUCAUCAUUAAUGGAUUUUAUGUAAUUACUAUAAAUGUACACAAUAGAUCAUCAAUUUAUAAAUUAAUUUAGUGAUUUUAGCCUUAAUCACGUGGAUAGAAAGAAGGAAAGUUAGGGUAUUAUAGCUUCUCUAACUUUCCUUCUCAAUAUUAGAGGAUCUAGUUCCGUGAAAGGGUACGCAAGGAAGGGGAUCGGGGAGAGAAAGGAUUGAUUAGUUUAAGAAUUAUAGAGGAACGGAGGGAGUACGAACAACUCCAUCCUGAGGGAGUAUAAAUUCCUCUGCCUUCAUGUGCACUCCUCUCUCUAAUAGUUUGCAUGUCCUAGUUACUGGUGAUUUUCUGAUAAUGAACUGAUCCACCUCUCUAGCCAGUGCCACACACCACUGGUUCAGCUGGCAAAUGUCCUUGGAGAUGCUCUGAUCGUGAUGACACGAGACAAGAUACGCUGGCACUUUGAUGAGUGUGGUACCGUACCACAACGCCACCAAUAUCUUCCUGCUGCUUUUGCUCCAAAUUAAUGUGUGCGGACAUCUCCAUAAUCACACGGACGUACCAUGACGAGAUGAGAUAUAUCUGCCAUGCCAUCGACCCGCACUCUCAAGAUCUCAGCGCCAUGGAUUCUGCUCAUGACGACGGCUUUGCGCUGGAGAUGGCGGAGCUGCCGCUGGAGACGCGGUGCCCGCCGUUCGCGCUGCGCCAGUACUCCGGCUUUUAGCUGCCGGAGGCGGUGCUGGCGCGCGGUCUCCCGGCGGGGCGUGACCGGUUCGCGCCGAGGCCGGACGACGUGCUCCUCGCCAGCUUCCCCAAGUCCGGCACCACGUGGCUCAAGGCGCUCGCCUUCGCCACCGUGCACCGGGACGCGCACCCACCGUCCGCUGACGACCACCCGCUCGGCCGCCGCAACCCGCACGACUGCGUCCCGUUCCUCGAGAUCAGCCUCGCGCGCGCCGACGACGUGGGCGCCGCGGCGGCCGAGCUCGAGGCGCUCCCUUCCCCGCGCGUGCUCGCCACGCACCUGCCCUUCUCCCUCCUCCCCGAGCGCAUCCGGAGCCGGAGCCGGAUCGUGUACGUCUGCCGGAACCCCAAGGACGCGCUUGUCUCCUCCUGGCUCUUCACCAGGAAGGCGUCGGAGGCCGUGGGCGUUGACGCCGAGUCCUUCCCGCUCCAGGAUGCCGUGGAGCUCUACUGCGCGGGGCGCUGCCUCGACGGCCCACAGUGGCGGCACGUGGUCGAGUACUGGGAGGCCAGCCUCAGCCGCCGGAACGAGCACCCGGACAGGGUCCUGUUCCUCAGGUACGAGGAGAUGCUCCCCGACCCCGUGAGGAGCCUGAGGACGAUGGCGGAGUUGGGGUGCGCCUUCUCCCGGGAGGAGGAGGAGCGAGGGGUGGACCGCGCCAUCGUGGAGCUGUGCAGCAUGGGGAAGCUCAAGAGCGUGGACGCCAACAUGAAGGGGCGGAGGGUUCAGGCGUCAAGGCCGACGCCUUCUUCCGGAAGGGGGUGGCCGGGGAUUGGAGCAACCACAUGACGCCGGAGAUGGGGAAGAUGGUGGACGAGGCUGUGGAGGACGGACUCCGGGGGUCUGGUUUUAGCUUCGCCGACACAAGCUUUGCCCAAAUGAAAACGACAAGGUCUUGAGGCCAACAAACGCCGUAGUCCAGCACCGGCUCUUUGGCGACCCUUUUUUCAAUAAAACACCGUUGUGUACUUCUAUAUAUAGGGAUUGACUAUUCGUCAUUCUGUGUGAGAAAUAGUUGCUUUUCACCCCUCCUCAUCUAUUUUACGAUUCGUAAAUUUUAUCUUAUUUCAGACGUAAAAAGAGAACGUAAGAUAAUAUAAUCGUCGUAAAAAAUAUUUUAUAUUACAUAAAAUUACGAAUGUAAAACAUAGUGUAAUAUAUAUAUAUAUAUAUAUAUAUAUAUAUAUAUAUAUAUAUAUAUAAUACAAUUUUUCUGGUUUUAUGACCUAUAUUUUUUCUUAUGACAAAUUUCACGAAGUGAAUCAAUAUGAAUAUAACUAUUUGUAUUUUAAAUACAAUUUAUUUAUAAAAUGAUCGUGAGGUUACCUCGGACGAAGAAUAACUUAUUCUGCACCCUUGUGUAUAUAGUAAAAAAAUUAUUUUCAGAAUUAUUGAAUUUUAUACACCGUUUUACUAGAUUUUUUAUGUAGCGUCACUAUUCUACACUCACGCUCACUAUUCCCACGAGUACAUACUCCCAUGUGGAUCCACCUCCUGAGACUACCCACCGUCGUAGCCACGUUUUAAACCCGUUUAGCUUUCCUGAUAAUGAGAUUAUUUUUUGUUAGUUGAAAUUGGCCGGAACAUAAUCCUUUUUUUUAUAGGGAUAACAAUUAACAAAGGUCAGCGUUGAAACUAAACUGCAUCGAUCUAUUCCUCUUGCUACAUACCUCGGCGACGACGGCGUCUCUCCUGCCACCAUCGAUCCACUCUUGGAGCUUCCUCGCGGCUGACGGCGGCUGCGUCUCUCCCACUAACCAUGAUGCAUGCAUCAGCAUGGAAGAAGACCACGCCCCCAUUUCUGCCCUGCCAGUCUCCGGCGUCCAGCGCUCUCCUCUGGCCAGUUCUCCCGUCAGAAUGAGCCAAAAUUCAUACGUGGUACUCCCUCCGUCCGGAAAUACUUGUCAUCAAAAUAGAUAAAAGAGGAUGUAUCUAGACAUAUUUUAGUUCGAGACACACCACCUCUUAUUCAUUUUGAUGACAACUAUUUUCGGACGGAGCGAGUAUGUUACUUACAAUUGAUCUUUUCGCAUAUGUAAACACAUACGCGUCCAUCUAGCUAGCUCGUACAUACAUGUAAAUGAAGCUACCUCUUUGUGUUUUGAUAUAUGUACGACGCAGCGCAAAAGUACUAUUAAUUCUUUUAUCCAUGAAUAUUUUAUUUGACACUCGGACAACGCCAACGACUGAAUCAAUCCCGCCAUCGGUGACAAUAUAUACAUGCGCUCACGUACCUAUGCAUGCAUCACCUCUUCUCACGCAUGCUUCACGUAUGCUUAUAUUUUAUUUCUAUUUCAGAUAUUUCUAUCUUGCUUCGUUUUGUCAUUUUUCUUGUUUCAAGGAUCAAGUUGGAUUCUCAUCUAAUUCAUCCGAACGAAUCAUCGACAAGCAUUCGGGAUCAGCGGAGGCUCGACACAUGUAGAUAGAUGUGGCCGACAGCGGCUUGAUCGUCGUCCUCACGGCCGGUGGCAGCUCAUGACAUGCACACUUAUCGGCAACAUGGCUGGUUGCGGCUCAACGGCGAUGAUGAGAAGCAGCUAGACUCCGGACGACAUCCUCUCUCACCCGCAACACGCGACAAGCGGUGACUUGACGAGAACGAUCUGUAUCAUUAUACUCUUAGGAAAGUCUAUGUACUAGUGGUACACUAUUUUUUUUGGAACUAUAUUAAAUGGAUACAGAUUACCAGUUCCUAUGAAUGUAUGCUUUUUGGUACAUACUCUUUUCCCCAAGGUAAUAUAUAUUUACUUGAGGUUGGUAUAUUUGCUUGUAGUAUUUACUUGGGACAUAAGUUCUAGAUCGCGAUUAUCUAUAUGAUCAGCAUUCUACAAAACAUCAUUUUGUUCUCAAUGGAUAGAGGGUAUAUAAUCAAUUGGGUUGGAAAAUAGUAGGGGUCUCACUUGACAUAAUGCAUGUAUUAUAUACUCCCUCCAUUCCAUAAUGUAGUGCCUAUAGAUUUUUACAAAAGUCAAACAUUGCAAACUUUGACCAUAUUUAUAGAGAAAAAUAGGCACAUCUAGAAUACCAAAUGCACAUCAUUGAAUACAUAAUAAGUUGUAUUUUCAGAUUAUACAUGUUUCGUAUUGUAAAUGUAGACAUUUUUCUCUAUACACUUGGUCAAAGUUCACAAAGUUUGACUUUCAGAAAAAUCUAUAGACACUACAUUGUGGAACGGAGGGAGUACUAACUAAUAAAAUUAGUACAUACCCUUACAACAAAAUGUUAGUAUAUACCCACCCAGAAAGUAAGUAAUGCAUACCCUCUCAGCAAAAUGCAAUGUAGUAUAUACAUUCUCACAAGAAAAUACUACUCCCUCCGUUCCCAAAUAUAAGUCUUUCUAAAGAUCUCAACGAGUGACUACAUACGGAGGAAAAUGAGUGAAUCUACACUCUAAAAUAUGUUUAAAUACAUUCGUAUGUUAUAGUCCAUUUGAAAUGUUUAAAAAGACUUAUAUUUAGGAACGCAGGGGAGUACCAUAUACCCCUGAAGAAAAUAUACUGCUUAUUUUGCUGAGAGAAUAUACCACACACUUUAUUAGGGUAUAUACCACACAUUUAUUUUGAAAUGGAGGGAGUAGUAUAUAGUCAUUCCUAAAAAAACCUCUCAGCAGAAUAUGGUAUAUACCCCCUCAAUAAAAAAGAGUAUAUACCCACCCAGGAAAAAUGGUAGAUAUCGUAUAACUAAACUGUUGGUUUUCGAACGAGUUUUGUAUAGUCUAAUCUCGAGUAGCAUGUUAUAAAGUCGUUUAACUCAAAAGAAUAGUGUAUACUAUAAGUAUAUACUCUAAUUAAAUUACUGGACAGUAUACAUAGAAAACUAGGAGUACAUGUAAGUACGUUUGAUGAGGUAUAUAUACUGCAUAGAAGAAAGAAAACCAACCAAGAAAAUGGCGUUGCCUAUUCCAACUAAUUCUUAACGUAGACGACGCUUGGAGCUGCCUAAGUCCUAGGGAUAAGGUGUGCAUGCAAAGUAAAUAAGCGGCAUUGUUUACUAAUCUGCAUGGCUGGUUGUUACUUGCCGCAAGUGGAUCAUCCACUAACGAAGGGAGUAUGUACUCCUCGGAGUACAAAAGAGGAGAGAGAACAAAAANNNNNNNNNNNNNNNNNNNNNNNNNNNNNNNNNNNNNNNNNNNNNNNNNNNNNNNNNNNNNNNNNNNNNNNNNNNNNNNNNNNNNNNNNNNNNNNNNNNNNNNNNNNNNNNNNNNNNNNNNNNNNNNNNNNNNNNNNNNNNNNNNNNNNNNNNNNNNNNNNNNNNNNNNNNNNNNNNNNNNNNNNNNNNNNNNNNNNNNNNNNNNNNNNNNNNNNNNNNNNNNNNNNNNNNNNNNNNNNNNNNNNNNNNNNNNNNNNNNNNNNNNNNNNNNNNNNNNNNNNNNNNNNNNNNNNNNNNNNNNNNNNNNNNNNNNNNNNNNNNNNNNNNNNNNNNNNNNNNNNNNNNNNNNNNNNNNNNNNNNAUAAGCCAUGACAACAUUUUGCUACAUCAUUGUUCAAAUCCCAUCACAUUUUUUAAAAUCAUAAACAUUCUGGGAUUUUCCAAAUAUUUGUUUUGAAAAUUAUGAACAUUUUUUGAAUAUGCGAACAUAUUAAAAAUACGAACAGUUUUUAGAUCCACAAAUAUUUUAAGAUUUACUGAACAUUGUGAAGUACCAAAUUAUUUAAAUGUGAAAAAAAGAAAAGGAAAAAAUCGAAAAAGAUACUAAAACAGGCCGCCUCACAUGGGCCGGCCCAAAUGGACUUCUGUGUAUUCUCAUAGCGCGCAGAACGCAUUAUAGGAGGUAGUUUUCAUGAAGGGCCCGUGCGUUGCAACGGAAGAUAAAAAUAUUAUAAUCUUCAAUGGUCAUGACCGCAUUUUGCUUUAUCAGUGAGAGCCACUAUCACUCUCAAUUUCGUGAAAUCAUGAACAUUUUUUAAACCUGUGAACAUAUUUGAAAUCAUGAACAUUUUUCAAAUUCAGGAACACUUUUACAAAUUUUCGAACAUUUUCAAAGAUCAAGAAUUUUUUUUGAAUUCAUGAACAUGUUAUAGUAUUUGUAACUAUUUUAAAAUUGUGAAUACUUUUUAAACAUUUUUUUGAAGUGGCGAACAUUUCUAGAAUCAAUGGAGAUUUUUUCGGAAAUUGGUGGAACAAUUUUUUAUCUCCACAAACAUUAUUUUAUUUUAAAUUCUUUUAUUGAAAUAUAUGAUCAUGUUUUAAUCAACGAACAUUUUGUGAAGGAAUAAUGUAUUUUGUAAGUCCUAAUAGUUUUUGAAUUUUUAGGAUAUUUUCAUUGUUGAUUUUUUUAUUGGUGAAAUUUUGUUCAAUCUCAUUAAAACAAUAAUUCACGCACUUUUUAAAAUGGAAGAACAUUUUUUGAUUUCCAGGAGAAUUUAUUUCAAAAUUUUGAACAUUUUUUACAAAAUCUCGAACAUUUGUUUGAAUUGACAAACAUUUUUCUAAUAUUUUAUUUAAAAUUUCACAAUUUUUUAAUUCUCUAAAAACAAUUGGAGUCUCCAAUUAUUUAAAGUAGUAAAAAGGAAAUUGGAAAAGAAAAAGAAAAAAACAAAAUUUCAAAAACAGGCCGCCUGGACAUCGGUCUGCCCAAAUGGGCGCGCUGUGUCUUCUCCCAACGCGCAAAGCAAUAUACAGUAGGUCCCUACAACACCGGCCAGCCCAGGCUGGGAAUUCCGGUGUGUGAAACAUUAUUUUAUCACUUAUAGGUGACAUUGAUGGGUAAUAUUUUGCAAUUUUGAGGGCAAUUUUUGUGAUAUACAGCCAUAAGAAAUAGCCCCUUAUUAUAUGAGAUGAUAGCCUUUUUCGAUAAGUGCAGCUGAAACAAAAAAAAAAGGCAUAUUAAUGUGAAGAUAUAUGGCGGUCACUAAUCCAAUCCUUACAAAAGAAAAUCAAGAAGAGGGAAAAACAGAUCGAGAAAAACAAAUAAGCCAAACAAUCAUGAAAUAAACCCUGGAACCCAGCUCAUUACCUCUCCAUGCCCAACAAAAAGAAAGAACAUGCCGAUUAUACACAUCGACAAAGCAUCGUUGUCCAAAUCUUGAAGCACCUCAUUCUAAUGGCUAUGCAGUUAACUGGGACUCGGUAAAAAGGAAUGAAUCAAAAAUAAAAAGGAUUGAAAGAAAUAAUAAUAAAAGGCGAAAUGUGACACAAAUAAUAAUAAAAUGAAAAAGGAAUAAGGGAAAUCAUAAGACAUACAAAAGGUAAAUGAAAAUGAAAACAAAAAGAAGAGAAAACAAAAAAAAGUCAUACGGAUGUGAAGAUAUAUGAGGGUCACUGGUCUGACCAAGAGCAUGAAGAUAUAUGGAAUUUUGGAGCUCGAGCUCCGUGAAGGCACGUGUGAGUAUGCGUAUCUGGCAACUCUCGUAUAGAAGCCUGUCGAGAAGCAUCCAGCAUCAACAUCGACAAGAGCUUUAGUUAUUUACCCAAAACCACCACACUUUAGGCUAGGGUAACAACUUAGUACCACAUUCGAGGCAGGGCACAAGGAGCCACCAAUUCUGCGCCUAACGAAUAACGCAGAGCACUGAUUGACGGGUAAGAUUGUGAUAAAAGAAAAACUGACAGGUUGGGCCCACCUGUCAGUCAUGAUAAUGACAAAGCUGACCAGUGGGACCCCUUUACAGGGCUGAUGUGGCACAUAUUAGUCAAAGUCAAUAUUUGCCCCCCUUAUGUGGACAAGGGUCCCACUUGACAUCUUCCAAAAUGGGCUCGGCCCCAUACAUCAGUGACACAACUACAUAUAAACUUUCUUUUUUAAAACAUAUUACCGUAAAGAAGCCCAAUUUCCUCUCCAUCGCCGCCGGCAGAGCUUCGUCCUCCUGCAAGGUAAGCGACCUGCCUCUCCCGCACAUCGCCGGCGUCGCGACUGUAAGGGCAUAUUUCUUCCUACGCGGUUUUGAUGAUUGAUGACAAUGCAUUUGCGGACUAAUCAUGUGCAUUGAGCUUUUCAGAGAUCUCAUGUGCACAAGACGAUUCGGUGCCCCUCGGUUCCUAUCAAAGACGGCGGUUUUUACUUUUCUUUUCGGUGGAUUUGAGUCAUAGGAAAGUUGUACUAUUAAGAGGGGGUCCGCUUCGAAAGGUUAGGUUGGAAUCAACACAUAUACAUUUGUUCCUUUGCAUCACCUUUCCUUUGCUUCAUUGGAAAGCACCGGGCAUUUACCCUUGUAUAUGCGAAGAUGAAGGUCUCCAGAGUGAUAGAGUUGUUGUGGCGUGCGGUAGUACUAUUCAAGGAAGCAGUGGUACCGCAGCUGUCCAUGGUAGUACCGCUCUCUAUGGUGUUGUACCGUGGCAUCUAGCCCAGAACCCUGGCAUACACGGUAGUAGGAGCGGAGCAUAGUACAACGAAUACAACGAAUACAACAAAUACAUGAGUGAGUCCGGCUGUCAGAGCAUAGUACAACGAAUACAACAAAUACUCCAAGUAGCACUUCCAGCUAGUCCUGAAUCCUGAUCACAGCACUUUCAGAGCAAGAUGCGCUUCUCCCACUCCUCCAUCCAAAUUUAUAUAUAUGCAUGUGUAUAUGUGUGUGGAGACGAGAAUCAGAUCACCAACUUGAACAUGAUUUCUUGUCUCCCACAAAUUAUGUGCGCGCAUGCUUCAUCUCCUCUUCUUUAUACACAAAAUUCCCCUCUAGGUCCAGCUACAUGAACCCCUCUUAUAGUCUAGUCUGCCAUCAACCUGACUCCGUACCAUGGCUUCUCCCUCGGAGCUGCCGGAGCUGCCGCUGGAGACGCGGUGCCUGCCGUUCGCGCUGCGCCAGUACGCCGGCUUCUGGCUGCCGGAGGCGGUGCUGGCGCGCGGCCUCCCGGCGGUGCGCGACCGCUUCGCGCCGAGGCUCGACGACGUGCUCCUCGCCAGCUUCCCCAAGUCCGGCACCACCUGGCUCAAGGCCCUCGCCUUCGCCACCGCGCGCCGUGCCGUGCACCCGCCGUCCGACCACGACCACCCGCUCCGCCACGGCAACCCGCACGACCUCGUCCCGUUCCUCGAGUUUGGCUUCACGCUCGCCUACGACGCCGACGCCCUGGCGGCCGGCCUCGAGGCGCUCCCUUCCCCGCGCCUGCUGGCCACGCACCUGCCCUUCUCCCUCCUCCCCGGCCGCCUCGCCGCCGCCGGCCGCAUCGUCUACGUCUGCCGGCACCCCAAGGACGCGCUCGUCUCAGCCUGGACCUUCACCAGGAAGGCGUCGGGGAGCAUGGGCGUGGACGCGGAGUCCUACUCGCUCCGGGAGGCCGUGGAGCUCUUCUGCGCGGGGCGCUGCGUAGCCGGCCCGCAAUGGCGGCACGUGGUCGAGUACUGGGAGGCGAGCCUCAGCCGUCGGAACGUGCUGUUCCUCAGGUACGAGGAGAUGCUCCGCGACCCCGUGGGGAGCCUGAGGACGAUGGCGGGGUUCAUGGGGUGCGCCUUCUCGCCGGGGGAGGAGGAGCGAGGCGUGCCGCAGGCCAUCGUGGAGCUGUGCAGCCUGGAGAAGCAAAAGAAUGUGGAGGCGAGUCGGGACGACGGAAGGACGGCAGAUGGCAUCAAGGCCGACGCCUACUUCAGGAAGGGGGUGGCCGCGGAUUGGAGCAGCCACAUGACGCCGGAGAUGGGGAAGAUGGUGGACGAGGCUGUGGAGGACGGGCUCCGGGGGUCUGGUUUCACCUUCGCCGACUCAACUCCGGCCAACCGUGAAAAAUGACAGAGUCGAAGCGAACCCAGAUCGUCCCCGGCACCACCUACUUCUUGUUCAAUAAUGCAUGCUUUGUGUCCUUGUUUUUGAGUCCGGUGUGCGUGUGCGCGCGCGAUGCAUAUUGUCCACGUACUGUCCAUUCAUGUAUGCGUACUUUUCUUUGGCUUCCAGAACUCAACUCAAGUGAGCUGAAAUAUGUGUGUGCUUUUAGCAUUGAACUGAACCGAUAUGCUACAACUAUGUCCCCAGCUAUAAUUCAAUUGUUACUGUUUGUUAGAAUAAAUCCGAGGCCACCGUCGAUCUACCGAGAACCAAGCAAUCACACGAGGCACGACACCGAGAUUUGUUAACGAGGUUCACCGAUAUGGCUACAUCUCCGAAGCAUAUGACUACAGGCGCUCCUUCCCAUGACACCGUCACAAUACCGCACCCCGGGCGCCCUGCGUGCCUGUGCUAUUAUGUUGGCGUAGGUUACAUCGUGUGUCUACCCCCGCUAUAUAUGAGAGGCCUAGGAUACAAGUGUCCUAGUUGGACAAUACUCCAUAUCCUAUCUAAACACAAUACUACUACAAGUCUAAUUGUAACCUAAUAAUAUUUGACACAACUCUAACAAACUCCACCUUGACGAAUAUUCUUCACCGCCUUGAAUUCAUUCAUGCGUCGAACUUCCAUGUACAUUGGACUUGAGAUACGCCAUGAGCACCGCUGCUACUCCCAGACUCCAUGUGACUCCACCUGCAACUAUAGUCCCUUCUCGUCUUCUUCGCAGUCAACACUUGAGCAAAAUUAAGUUCCUCAUUACUCUACCUUGUGCUUCAACUUUCAGAGUAUCCGUCCAAUGUCAUCACACAUCGACCACUGUCUGCGUGAAAAUGAACAACCCACAUAUUGAACGCCACACAUAAGAGUUACCAUCACACACCGGCGCAUCCAAUCACAUGACCGGUGAUCGAUCAGCGUUCGCGGAGCUGGACGAGGGCGUCACCGGUAGCGUCGGGUUCGGGGAUGGCUCCAGCGUGGCUAUCCGUGGUCGCGGCACGGUCACGUUCACCGUGCGCAGCGGCGAUCAUUGCGCUCUCACAAACGUCUACUUCAUCCCGCGUCUCAAGACGAGCAUCAUCAGCCUCGGGCAACUGGACGAGCAUGGCUGCAUCACCAAGAUCCACGGCGGUGUCCUGACUCUGUACGAUCGCCGCCAGAAUCAGUUGGCCCAGGUACGCCGAAAUGGCAGACGUCUGUAUGAUGUGCGCCUGGACAUCGCGCAUCCGGUUUGCCUGGCAGCACACGGCAGCGACGAGGCGUGGAAGUGGCAUGCCAGGUUCGGCCACCAGCACUUCGACGCGCUCCGGCGCAUGGGGCGCGCUGAUAUGGUGCGCGGGAUGCCGCUGGUGGACCAUGUGGAGCAGAUCUGCGACACGUGCUUGGUGGGGAAGCAAAGGCGUGCUCCGUUUCCCUCCCAGGCGCGCUACCGCGCGACAGGGCCUCUCGAUCUCGUUCACGCCGAUCUUUGCGGGGCCAUCACUCCGGCCACCCCCGGCGGCAAGCGCUACUUCAUGCUCGUCGUCGAUGAUCACAGUCGCUAUAUGUGGGCUAUGAUGUUGCCGGCGAAGGACGCGGCCGCGGCGAGCAUCAAACACUUUGUUGUUGUGGCUGAGGCAGAGCAAGGCGGACGACUGCGCGCAUUCCGAACGGACCGGGGCGGCGAGUUCACUUCCAGCAUGAUCGGCGAGUACUUCACAGAUCAAGGCGUACAGAGGCAUCUGACGGCACCCUACUCGCCGCAGCAGAACGGCGUGGUGGAACGGCGUAACCAGACCGUCGUCGGCAUGGCGAGGAGCAUGCUCAAGGCGAAGAACAUGCCGAGCUGGUUUUGGGGGGAGGCCGUGGCGAGUGCGGUGUUCAUCCUCAACAGGUCCUACACCCGUAGCGUCGACGGCAAGACUCCGUACGAGGCGUGGUACGGCAAGAUACCCAUCGUGCACUUCCUGCGUGUCUUCGGCUGCAUCGCCUACAUCAAGAACACGCGGCCCGGGCUGAAGAAGCUCGACGACCGCAGCACUAAUAUGGUAUUCAUUGGCUAUGAGGCGGGCUCGAAGUGCAUGUCACAAAAAUUAUACAGUAGGAAACCUCUUUCAAAUGUAAAUCCAAUAGUAUAUUAGGAUCUCGAAAUGAGUCAUGUGAAAUAGAUGAGCUAUGUAUCUACUCCAACUUGUUUCCAUGCAUGUUCUAGAUCAGUCUCUGCUUUGCUUUUGCAUCCAUGAUCCCCUCUUGCGUCAAAAUAGUAGUGAUUUGUUCCACCAGUAUAAGCAAUGUCCAACACACCCUUCGUGAAACGAUUCCUUAAUGAACACAUCCAACAAAAAACACCCUUUGCAGGCCUGGCUGGCUGGGAAGCUGCAUGUGAGCCGGUUACAAGGUAGGACAAAACGGGCGGCUGGAUCGGAACUGCCGAUAAUCACAUGACAUGACAGCCAGUCCGUCCAAAACAGUACACUACUUUAUUAGGGGGUAUAUAAGCAGUGUGAAACGUAGUACUCCAUCCAUCCGUAAAGAGAUAUAAGAGCAUUUAGAUCACUACUUUAAUGACUCUUACAUUUCUUUACAGAGGGAGUAUGUCUAAACGACUAAACCUAACAAACACUGGCAAGAUAGUUCAAAAAAGAUGGUUAAACCUAGGAUGCGCUCCACCUCUAGACACCAGUGAGUCGGACAUACACACCCAUACACCAGUGAGCCUAUAGAUCCACCGUCUCAAAUCUCCACUCCAAGUCUUUGAGCUGGGGCGUCCUCCAAACCAAUUCAUCGGCUUCGCUCCCCUGCAAGCCGAUCGGCCGGUAUGUUGGACUAGUUCAUCCUACUUACAUUUUUGUCUGUUUUUAAUUGUCUGUGGCAUACUUCCCCGCAAAAAGAAGUCUGUAGCAUACACAAGCAACACGCGUUAACCUACAAGUGAUGUCAAUAUAAUCUUGAUUUCCAUGCAGAAUCAAUGGAUGGAUGGAUCAGUGAGUUUCCGACGCCCGUGCGACACUGGAGCAUCCGUGUGGGGGUCCUUUACAGCUUAUGCGGCCACCUUCUCCUCGUCCUCACGGCCGGAAGACGGCGGCAUGAGGCCUUUGCUCUGUCACCGUUGGUGGCUACCGUGUUAGCGGACGGUAUCGACAAAUUCGUCAUCACCCUAUUGUUUAUUAGCGACAAAACAUCAAGGGAGCAGCAACUCUCCGCGUUCUGGUUGCCCUUCCUCCUAAUUCAUAUCAGUCGCCCGGACAACAUCAGCGGUUUUUCCAUUGAGGAGAAUGUGUUUUCGCCUAGCCAGAUGUUGAGUGCUGAUGCUGCUAUCUUGGGAGCCUCCAAUGCCCUGUACGUCCAUGUAAUUCGCUCCCGUCCCAGUGCCGGGACCUUGGUGCCAGCGUCCUUCCUCAUGUACGCAUUGGGUAUUUUCAAGUACUUGGAGAGGAUAAAUGCACAAAGGAGAGGCAACUUGAACAGCAUCAAGAUCUUAAUGAAGAUGAAGAAUCAGCAAAGGAGAUUCAGUUUCCAUCACACUGGUGUCCAUGGGCCCCUGGAUAAUGAUCAAGCCCUGCUUGUCGCUCACAGCAUGCUUCCUAUCACCAAAUGUGCCUUUUGUGACUGCUCGGUGGACAUGGAUCCUAACGUCCGCGAAACCGGCAGAAAGAUAUUGUCUUGUGGAUGGGAGAGUAUGUGCAAGGUGGUGGAGAUGGAGCUCUCCCUCAUGUACGACCUCAUAUACACCAAGGCAACCGUCAUCCACGUCUGGCCUGGCUACAUCAUCCGCAUCGUCUCCCCGCUAAUCAUCUGCGCCAUGCUAUUUCUGUUAACUGCUUAUGAUAAAGAAUCCCAAACAGUAGAAGAUAUUGUUAUCACUUACAUAUUGGUGGUCUCCACCUUACUACUGGAUGUAAGAUGGCUGCUGGGAGCACUAGGGUCAACCUGGGCAUAUACAUUCUUCAAAGAAUCGAGAUGGCAGUGGCUAAAGCAUGCAGUUGUCUGUGAUGGAAGAUGGCACCGGCUCCGUACCAUUGUAGUGUCUAUGAGCUCCAGGUUCGACAUGAAGCAGCCAAGUAGCUACAGGUUGUGGCGAGGAAUCAUGGGCCAGUACAACUUGUUGCAUGAGUGCACUCGUCACAACGACAAUCCAAUAAGUGUAAGUAGUAUGAUGGGCUUGUUCUACCUCCAACCACAGGAGAGCAUGAUGCAGCACGAAUACCAUGACAGACGUGGCUUUAGGAUUCCACAAGAUUUGAAGGGUCUGUUGUUCGAACGCAUAUGGGAAAAGUUGAAGUUAUCAUACACACCCGGCAAGGUUCAGGAGGAAGAAGUUGUGCAGUUUGAUCCUGAUGAGUUGCAAGAGCUCAUUCUUAUCUGGCACAUGGCAACGGACAUUUUCCUCCAAAAGGUCACCUUUGCAGAUGAAAAAUCUCAAAAAUAUGUGAAGUUGAUCAGCAAGCUGUCUAACUACCUGGUGUUCCUCGUGGUUGUAUGCCCCAACAUGCUACCGGUCCGUAAGCUGCCAAGCAAGUAUGAAGAAACCAACAAAGCGUUGAGGGACUAUUUGAGUGAUGAAAAGAGGCCUCCUAGUUGCAAAACAAGAGAGCAGAAGAUUGCCUUUAUCCUGGAACAGAUGGGGGACGGAAAUAGUACUAGUAGCAUUGUUCUGUCGGAUGGUAAUCAAUAUGCCGGUGUGCUACGAAGCUGUUUUGCCGAAGGGGGGUAUAUCGACCUAGUUGAGAAGAUGGGGGAAAAGUCCCGCCGAAGAUUUAAGAAGUUGAUGCCGGGAUUGUGUUCUUACUCUGAGUUGGUCACCGAUGAAGAACUGUUGUUGAAUCUCAUCUUUGAUGCAUGGGUACUUUUGCUCAUGAAUGCGUCCAAAGGGUCUAGCAGGGAUUCCCAUGCCAAGCAGCUCGGCCAUGGCGGCGACCUCGUAACCAUAGUGUGGAUCAUGACAAUACAUGCCAACAUAUUUGGCAUCCAAGAGGAAAAUAACGGGGUCUGCUAAUUAGUAAAGCUCGUUGGUAUGUUCUAGUACCAAUCAUUUGCCUAGUGUCCCUAUCUCCCUUUUUGGAUUGGCUACUCAUGUGUAUUUGUAUUUUUGUUCACUGUUUUGUUUGGAAUUAGCUGUUCUUCGUCAGGUUGUCAGUGUAAGUCCUCUGCUCCUCCAUGUGAGGAGGCUACAUUCAGGCUUGUAAGCAAAAAUAAUAAUAUCAAUGUUCUAUAUGAAUUUAGUGCUUUGCCUGGUGCUGGAGCCACAGACAAAUUGCAUAGGCUAGUUCCUUUAUUAAUAAGUUAUAAGCUUUUUUUUUUGCAGGGGAGUAACAAUGUUAGUAAUUCGUUUCUUCGCCAACCUACAAAAUAAAUGUGUGGUUCUUAUUAUUUUCAUUAACAUUGAAUGGUGACCGGUAAGCGACCGAGAGCAUGAGCGAGAGUGAGAAUGGAAGCAGGCAGAUCUUGCCACCAUGAUGGAGGGUGAUAUUUUCUACUAUAGCUAGUGAUGCCGUGUUAUGGACGAUGGUGUGAUUGUGGUGGGGCGAGCGGUGGAGAAUGAUUUCCCCAUCCCACUUACUUCAAUUCCAAUCUAGGUGGUCAAACCAUGGUUCGAUGUAUGGCAGCUGCCGAUUGCUAUCUGUGAACCAGUGCAAUUCACACGAGGUGAGGCGCGUCGCCGCUCCCCUCCAUUGGUGAGGUGUUAGUAUCCGCCAUGCCAAGGCAGGGGAGUGUCAGCAUGGAGUACUAGCUCGCAUGACUUUCGGAGGAUCCAUUGUCAAAAUAGUGUUUAGAGCACCCCUUCAUUUGUGUGGUGGAAACUCUUGUUCUAGCCUUCAUCGGUCGGCUUCAGCAGCAACAAAUUUGAGUUGUUACCUUAUUGAAGGUGUUGUCCCCUUGCUGAUGUGUUGACCUUAAUUGGUCAAUCUCGGCAACUAGGAUAUAUCCUUGUCUUUGUCGUAUCCGGCAUAUAUCCCUUCUCAAAGGCGUUGUUGCUAAAAAAGUCAACUUGGUUGUAGGUAUUAAAUUCAUAUCUUGUAAUGGGUUUAUUGUAAGUCAACUUAGUCGUAAUUGUGCUUGUCAUAUACACCUUCUGUCCCCCAACAUAAGACAUUUUGUCCCAGAAUAUAAGACGUUUUGGCAGUUCAACUUUAAUGUAAUUGUCUUGUUAUGGGUCUAUCGUAAUUGUGCUCACUAUGUUCCUAAAUUCAAAUUGAAAUGCUAAAACAUCUUAUAUUUAAGAACAAAGGUAGUAGUUUGCUUGUUGAUAUCUUUGGCCUCUUAUCUUGCAUCGACUUUAAUAAACUUGGUUGUGUGCAUCACAAUGAUGCAAAUGCCGGGGGUUCAACCUCCAUUCCGAAAGAAAAGAAAAAGGCGUGGGUGCAUGCGGUGCAUGAGCGUAAGAGGAGUAAUGCUAGAGCCAUGGGGAUUAAUUUACGGGGUUAACGAACGAACUAAUCAUGGGCCAAUAGGAUUGCAGAUUGGGGGAGGUUGGGACCCACCCCGGNNNNNNNNNNNNNNNNNNNNNNNNNNNNNNNNNNNNNNNNNNNNNNNNNNNNNNNNNNNNNNNNNNNNNNNNNNNNNNNNNNNNNNNNNNNNNNNNNNNNNNNNNNNNNNNNNNNNNNNNNNNNNNNNNNNNNNNNNNNNNNNNNNNNNNNNNNNNNNNNNNNNNNNNNNNNNNNNNNNNNNNNNNNNNNNNNNNNNNNNNNNNNNNNNNNNNNNNNNNNNNNNNNNNNNNNNNNNNNNNNNNNNNNNNNNNNNNNNNNNNNNNNNNNNNNNNNNNNNNNNNNNNGUCCGUGUGUCUAGUAUUAUCAGCGUAAGAGGCUGGGCUAUGUGCACACCGUGUGUGGACUUUGAAUAUUCAGAUUAAAAAUAUGAUAACUAAAAAAAUAAAAAUUACAUGGUUUAUUGUAUUUAAUUAUUUUAUGGUUGUAAAAUAUUUAUUGAAUAUAACUAGCAUAAUACUCCCUCCGUUGCUAAAUAUUUGUCUUUUUAGAGAUUUCAAAUUGACUACCACAUAUGGAUGUAUAUAGACAUAUUUUAGAGUGUAGAUUCACUCAUUUUGCUCCGUAUUAGUCACUUGUUGAAAUCUCUAGAAAGACAAAUAUUUAGAAACGGAGGGAGUACAAUGAAAACUUACAUGCAUGCGUGUAUGUUCAGAUGAGUCUUUUUCAUGCAGUAAGUUGCCAUGCUAAAAUGGUAUAUGUGCAUCUUAAGAGAAAUAGGCUAAUGAACAUCAUCUUUGUAGUUAUAGAAUAUAUCAUAAAAAUAAGUAUGCAUGUAGGAUGACAACACACUGAUUAAUUAUAAACACAAGCAAGCAAGCAACACACUAAUUGUAAAUAGUGACCUGUUACUGUAGUAUCAUCGUCAAACGUCGGUCCCAUGGUCAGCCAGCAAGCGUUACUGAUCACAUUCAUCAAUGAGAUCAAUGACAUCAACAACUUCUUUUUUAGAUAAUAACAACUGCCAUCUUGUUGGCUUAUUCAUGCUUCGCUUGCGCCCUGACAUCCGUCUGAGUUUUCGAUGUCUUCCCAGGAUACAUGAGGAGGAAUACAGUGGCAACAAUGGCCAGAAAAGCAUUAAACGAGAAAUACAAACAAGCUCCCCUCCUCUCGCGAAAAGAAAUACUACAACACAUUUCACCUUGCUGCCCGAUUCGCAUCGCAGGCAAAGCACUUCCAAACUGCUUGUCGCAUUUCUGUAAACCAUGUGCUUGCCCUGGGAAGAUCUCGAAAACAUCAAGAGCCCCGGCUUGGGGUCACACUAUUCAGUAUAGCUACUUCAGUAUCAGCUUCCAACUGUAUAAUGUUCCAAAAAAAUGUCACUUCUUGAGCAACCUCAGUACAUCGCCGAUGAGAUGCAGAGAGCCAGUAACCAGGACCUACACACAAACAUAUCAUCAGCGUCACGUGUGACUUACUAUUAGGUUGCAAACAUAACAAGGACAAGGUACAUGUCUUCCUGAUUACGUACGAGAUAGUGCUAUAAAUAUGUGUAGUGCCAUGUCGAAAGGAUAGAAAAUUAAACAUAUUAUGAGGCAUUACUCGUGAUCUAGAAGCACAAAGCAGUGUUAAACAUAUUAUGGAUGUUUUGUACUAUAAAAUUUAGAGAAGUUAGUUCGAGAAAAGUUUUCACCUGAUAAGAAGUGGAUGGAUCCUCUACCGCAUUUUUCCUUAGCCACUCAAUUGCUAGUGGCAGUGAUUCAAACACUAGGCUAGUCUCGCCAGAAUCCGUGCUGUUUGAACCUGCAUCAUUUACUCACAAUUCAGUAUAAAGUAUCAUCUUCAGCCUGACCAUGCAUUGUUGCAAUUAGAAAACGACAACGCAGUAGUAGAAGUGGUACAAAUUGUUAGAACAGGGUUGUACUUUUUGUAGUUCUCAUAAUGUACAGGGGCUUCUUUGCUUAUUUCCCUCGCAUGUAUAUGUACUGCUGGCCCCGUGGAAUAGAAGCUCAUUUCAUAACACAAGUGACUAAAGCUUGUAAGCAACCAAGUUCAGGCGAACCUUUAUUAUCAUCAUGAAGUAAUUUCUCCCACACUGCUUGGAGAGAUAGCUGCCAUGACAAAUCAAUUUGCUCAGGACCAGCAGGUGCUGAUGCCUUAGAACCAAGCUUGUUGUGUUGUGACUGAUUUGGCACAAAUAGGGCCAGAUCAAAGUGCACCCCUGAACAAAAUGAGAUAGCAAUACAUAUGUUCAGUUAGCUGAAAACUGGAACAAACAGCAGACUUGAAAGAGGGCUAAGCAUCAAGCAAUGCAGUAAGUUAGCUUUGAACUGAAGUUGUUAGUAAAUUCAACCUCCAAGAGAAGUACAAUACAAUGCAAAAAAAUCAUAAAUGAGCGCACAUGAGCAUUUUCAACAGCACGUGUUUCAACUUACCAUUUUGAGUUGCAGUAUCAACGAGAUGUGGAAGCAAUCUCAUAGGAUCUCUCACAGACAUGCAGUUGAAUAGAAGAAUCUGCAAUGUGUCCCAUAGAAGACACCCGUAUGAGGGAGAAGACUGAAACGAUACAUGCAAAAGCAAGUCACUCAAACAUGAUAAAACUAGACAGGCUGUGAGAAAUACCUUCCGAGAUUUGCUGCAAGUCUGAGACUGCUCCUUGGUAGCAUGGGAAAACCACCUCGCACAUAUUUCCAUACUUUCAGGGCUGUGUGCCCCAUCCAAAUAGAAUACCAAAGAACUAUCUUGGCCCUUCUCUUCUGAAUUUACUUGUGAAUCUGGAACAAUUUGCGCUCGGCCUUGCAAAGAAGCACUUGACAGCCCUCUAAUGAACUGAUCUGGUAAGGGAUCCUGAACUCCACCACAGAUGAACUAAUUAUGAUACCAUCUUUGUUUUUGGGAGAAGCAACAUGAAUUGACAAGACUUACAGUGUGGUUGAGUGGCAUUCUGUCCACGUGUCCCUGCUUCUCAAGCCAUGUACUAGCGAGUGCGACUGCAAGGCCAGCAUUUUCAUAUUGGUGUUCACCUUGCAGUCCAAGAUGUUGAUCUUUCAACUGAUGUGGCUUCAAAGGAUCAACGACUUGGAGUGAAAUCUUCAAAAAGCACAGAGUAUAGUAUUUCAAAAACUGUAUUCCAUUGUUUCUAGUACUGUGGUUACAAACAACAAGCAGGGCAGCAACCAAAAAGGAAAUGAAAACGGAUAAAAAAAAACAUACGCCCAAUUCUGAAGCUCUUCGUUUGAGAGCAACCAUUGCCUCUUCUGGCUGUGGAGCAGUGUAAGCUGGAACUCCUUUCUGUAAACAACAAUGUUAAUGUUAACAAAAGACGCCACCAAGAUACCAAAACAUAAUAAGAAAUUUCUGUGAAUAUCAAUGUUAAUAUGGUAUAGAACAACUUCUUGGGAAAGUAAUAUAUUGUAUUUUCUGAACUACAAACACCAUCAGUUACAAAAAAAGAGGCAAUAUAUGUAACAUGUUGUAGAACAACUUCUUGGGAAAGUAGCCACAAGAAAACCUUGAAAAUUCCAGCCUUCUCCCCAGCAAUUUCACCAAGCGUAUUUCCUGAUCAUCAGCAAAAAAAAAAACAUGUCAGCAUGAAACUAAUUUUCCUAAUAAAAGGGGUACUUCAAUUGCCAGUUUCAUGACUAACCAAGAAUUUCCAUAUGAUCAUAUCCAAGAGAGGAUAUUCCACAGACUACAGGAGAUUUAACCUGCAGAGAUCCAAAUUCAGACAACGGUCAUGCUCUAAUUUGACUGUUUUUAGUGUAUAAUUCUGCCGAGCUCAGAAGGGCUCAGAAGAAAUAGAAGCUAAACUCGAAUGCUUGAAUACUAACAAGAAUCAAGAAUUUAGAUGGACCUAAAUGAAUAUAUUCCGCACUCCUAGUAUGGUUUGGAACUCAGGGUGCAGAUUAAGGCGAACAAGGCCGGCAAUAGACUUAAAUGGCAUAGUUCAAGAUUCUUCUUUUGUCUUCUAGACAAAAUGAGCACAUUACUGAAGAAGAGUCACAUACCACAUUAGUUGCAUCGAACUUCCCUCCAAGACCAACCUCGAGAAGAGCUACAUCUACCUGUUUGAGGCAAGAAACAGGUGUGAGUAGAUCAAUAAUGUUCUUCUGAAAAUGCAUAUGCGGAACCUAAUUUAGAAAUCUCAAAAUGAAUAUGUGAUAGCUGAUCAUCACAUAGGUUUUGUACCUUAAAAUCAUAGAUUGUAGCACAAUGCUAUGCAAGUGAAAUGGUGAAGAAACGGGAACAUUGCAUGGAGUAAUCUUAUUCAGGCUAGAUUUAUGUAAUGACUGAAAACAAACCAGUAGGGAAAGAGUAUGGAGUGUUUUCUGUCUAUUACCUGCUCAGCAGAAAAGAUCUUGAAUGCGAGCAAGGCCAUGAACCUGAAAUACGCUGGCAUGGGAAUAUCAUCAUCAGUCUUCUCCUGAAGAGUGAAGAUAAGCCCAUUUGUCUCAUUAUCCACCAGGUACAUAAUUAAAGCAGCACAAAAAGACAAGACAUCUAUGUUUCAUCACUCCUAUGCACCUAGCACAGAGUUCCAUCACAUGAAAGACAACAAAUUUGGACAUGUACCUUCAGUUUAUUCCAGCAGCACCAGAAGUACUUCAAAAACUUCUCUUCAGAAAUAUCCACCCUGGUUGCAUCACAAGUUAGGGGCCAGGUUAGUGCACGCAUAAUACCUAAGCAUAGUGAUAAGCUAAAUGUAAAGAAUGGUGCAGCACAUUUGCAUACAAAAAAAUAUUGUGAAUAAAUACGAGGAGCCUAUCGUUAUUACUUAUCAACACCAGGUUAGCACAUGCAUAGUACCUAAGCAUAGGACAAGCUAAAUUUAAACAAAGUUCACUGUCAGGUGUUCCCCUACAGUUUUCAGAAGAAAAAAGUAAAAGGGCUGUGCAGCACAUUCGGAUGUACUCCCUCCGUUUCUAAAUAGAAGUAUUUUUAUAUAUUUCAAUAAAAACUACAUACGGAUGUAUAUAGACUACAUACGGAUGUACUCCCUUCGUUUCUAAAUAUAAGUAAUUUUAGAUAUUUCAAUAAAAACUAAAUACGGAUGUAUAUAGCAUAUUUUAGAGUGUAGAUUCACUCAUUUUGUUCCGUAUGUAGUCCCUUAUUGGAAUCUCUAAAAAGACUUAUGUUUAGGAACGGAGGGAGUAAGAAAUUAUUGUGAAUAAUAACAAGGAGCUGUCGUUAUCACUUAUCAACACCAUAAGAAAAAAUAAGAGCAAGAACAAUUGAUGAACAAAUUACCCAUCUAGCCGGAACCGCUCCCGGACAUCCAUCAAAUGCGGUGAUGUGAAUAGCCCGGUACGGAAGCCACAGGAUCGCAGGAUUGACUCCGUGAAUGUGCAUGUCGAACCCUACACAAAUGGUCCAUGGUGUUGGUGGUCACAUAAUAGUACAUCAUAAAGAAGCCAAGGACUUGAUUAAUCGCAGGAUGUGGCAUUCAGCAAUUUUCAACUACCAACCAGGAGAGCUGUGUAGCUGGUUACACACUGCACUGCGGUGCCAAAUGGUAGCACUAAACUAAUUGUUUGGUAAAACUUGAUUGUUGCACAUUAGUUGCUUAAAAAAUUUCAGGACCAAAUUGGAAUGCCCCAAUCAUUAGCGAUGAAGUUUCUGAAUCACAGUUGAAAUGAAAGGAAAUCGCACAUACUACAGAAGUUGCAUAUGAAGUGGUUUACCUUCCCUUUGGUGCCGGCGACAUGGAUGACCUUCAUCCGCGCGAUGGGCUCCUCCAGCUCCAGAAUCUGAAGGAACAAAUCCGCCCUCUAGAUCAGACAAGGAAUUCCUCCAUCGCGAUUCAGGCGGAGCGUGAGGAGGAGGAGGGAGGGGAUGGACCUGGAGGUAGCGGGCCAUGAGGUCCCACUGGUUGCCGCGGUUGCCGGUGUCGGCGCGCACCUUCUGCGUGAUGAGCGAGGAGAGGCGCCCCAGCACCUCCUCGUACUCCCCCGCCGCCGCGCCACCUGCAGCCCGAACGCACAUCAGUACAGUACCCAGCACAACGGGCACCACUACUCCACUAGUGCCACUCCACGAAGCUAGCAAGCCCCGAUCGGGUCGCGCGGCUCACCUGCGUGCUCCGCGGCGGCGGUGGUGGAGGACUCCAUGGCGCGGGGGAGGAUGCGGCGGGUGCGGGAGGAGGAGAAGGAGGCGAGCGGCGAGGAGAGGAGGAGGCGGCGGCGGAGGGUGGCGGCGGCGACGGCGACGAGAGGGGGGUGAGGCAUGGGCGGCGCGCGGCCGAUGUGGGGGUGGGUGGGUAGGUGGUGGUGGUGGUGCCACCGUGGUGGGCCCCGCAUCGUUCGCUGGUCGUCAGACAGACAGACAGACAGAGUUCGCUUUGACCCCGUGGACCCUGCCUACCUCGCUGACGAGCGGGCCCAGUUCCGCGAGACGAUCUACCGCACCGUCGAUACCGCUUUCGGCCGUGGGAGGCGUAUUCCGGAGCAUUUUACAGACUGCGCCUUCGCUCGGAGAUGAUGCACUGUUUGGUCAUCUGCAUGAGUUUGUGUAUAUCUACUUGAAACCAUAUACAGGGUUCUACUCCCUCCGUUCCUAAAUAUUUGUCUUUUCAAAGAUUUCAAAUGGACUACCACAUACAGAUGUAUAUAGACAUAUUUAGAGCGUAGAUUCACUCAUUUUGCUUCGUAUGUAGUCACUUGUUGAAAUCUCUAGAAAGACAAAUAUUUAGGAACGGAGGAAGUAAAAAAAAUAUAGGGGCAAGAAUUGCCGGCUUAACCGGCAAGAAUUGAACAGCACAGCACAGGUAAAAGAACAGCACAAGUAAAACACACGGAACAAGCAUUUUUGAAGAGUAAUUAAUAGAGGGGACAAAUUAUGGCAACUUCUCAAGACUUUAUUUCUCGUUCGGCUUUCACAUCACAUCACAGCCAGCAGCGGCAAAAUUUCGUGUUUUGACUCUUUUGCGAUAUAAAAUCAGGAUCUGACCCCGUUUGGAAUAUUUUCGGGAUUUGACCCUUUUGCUACCGCAAGGGCCAUUGGCGGUAGGGUACACAGCCUACCGCCAGAGCCCCUGGCGGUAGGGUGUGAUGGAGGGGGGCGGCGGCCGUUUGCCUGUGCUGACGUGGAUAGUACCUUACCGCUAGGGGCCUUGGCGGUAGGCGGUCUAAACCUACCGCCAGAGCCACUGGCAGUAAGGUGUGGCAGGGUUUUGCCGUACAAACUUUAUGUAACGAAAUAUGCAAGGACCCUGGCGGUAGGGGCCUUGGCGGUAGGAUGUCUAACCCUACUGCCAGGGUGCCUGGCGGUAGGUUCACCCUACCGCCGUGGGGGUUGGCGGUAGGAUGUCUAACCCUACCGCCAGGGUGCCUGACGGUAGGGUCCUCUGUUUUGUUUUUUCAAGUUCAUUUGGUUGCUUGUUUUUGAAUUCAAUAUGACAACAAUAUCACAGCAAGUUUCACAAAUAUGACAACAAUAUAUGAGCUCACAUAUUAAUAAAGGUUCCACAUAGCAAAUAUCAAACGGUUUACACAUAGAUUCAUAAGUAGGAAAUAGCAAAUAGCAAACUUGUCCACAUAGUUUGACAACCCCUACUAAAACAUAGAUGCAUAUCCAAUGGACAUGUUUNNNNNNNNNNNNNNNNNNNNNNNNNNNNNNNNNNNNNNNNNNNNNNNNNNNNNNNNNNNNNNNNNNNNNNNNNNNNNNNNNNNNNNNNNNNNNNNNNNNNNNNNNNNNNNNNNNNNNNNNNNNNNNNNNNNNNNNNNNNNNNNNNNNNNNNNNNNNNNNNNNNNNNNNNNNNNNNNNNNNNNNNNNNNNNNNNNNNNNNNNNNNNNNNNNNNNNNNNNNNNNNNNNNNNNNNNNNNNNNNNNNNNNNNNNNNNNNNNNNNNNNNNNNNNNNNNNNNNNNNNNNNNNNNNNNNNNNNNNNNNAGCACUCCCACCUUGCCUUGCCAGCUGGAGUUUUCGCCUCCGCCCUUCCCCAGCUGAUGAUACCGAACGCCGAUGCAUUUGGGGCCGGCAUCCUGGCUCUCUCCUCCGCAUUGCUCUCGAAGUAGAUCCUCCGGUCCAAAUUGCGCAGCUCCCAGUUGGAGUGCUGCUUGGCAACUUCAAUGGUCGCUUCCCGGCGUUCACGGGAGAUAGUUGGAUCUCCCUCCAUCUCUGCCUUCACUCUCUUCCACUCCUUCACACUCAGCGACCAACACUUCACAUCGUCGGCGAUCCGUUCUGCCCUCUCGUGCCACCGCACUGCCCUCGUCUCCUGUAGGAACUCGUCUGAAAAAGCGGUCACCGGCUGCAGAAGCUCGGGGAAGGACUCGUACACGUACGGAAGUGGCAAGCCGGACGGGUCGUGUUGGAGAUGAAUGGGCGAUGGUUGCGCCACUGUUGCAGACCUAAACAUAUGGAUCAAAUAAAUAAAAUACACAUAUCAAGAUGUGUCAAAUGCAAAAUCAUACCAUAUCAUACCAACCAAAUCCACUACUUGCAUCAUAUAUAUUUUGUUUACUACAAUAUGCAUCAUAUCAACAUGCAUCAUAUCAUAAAAAAAUCACCCAACAUUCAUCUUGAAUGUAUUAUCUCCAAACAACAUCUUCAUAUCAUCAUAUCAACAUGCAUCAUAAAACUACUAUCAAGUCCUCCCACAUGCAUUACAUCAUAAACUUUUUAACAAAAAAACUAUGAACUAGGGUUCAUCUUCACACUAACAUAUGAACUAUUGAUUAGAGUUCAUAUUCAAUACCACUAUUUACUAAAGAACUAAGAACUACAACUACAAUCAAGCUAAAACAAUCUUAGGUGAAAAAAUCCAAUCUAAAUUCAAAAACAUGAGGGAUUUCUAGCAAAUAAUGCGUCGAAUCGGAAGCAAGCUUGCAAAAACUAAUUGGAGGGAUUGGAGGAGCUUACGUUUCUCUCUUCGAGGCCAUCUCGAUCCGCAAAAACGGUCAACAAACGGUGAAGAGCCGAGGGGGGGAGUGGAGGAGAUGAGAGGGAGAGAGAGGCGACUUGGGGGAAGAAAAAGAAGAACUGCCAACAGGGGGGAGGGGGAGGGGUGGGGAGAUGGGCAGGGGCGUGGGGGUUUCGGGGAAAUAACUGCCUGGACCCUACCGCCAGGGGCUCUGGCGGUAGGCUGUCUAACCCUACUGCCAGAGCCUCUGGCGGUAGGAAAAAGGGUCAAAUCCCGAAAAAAAUUCAAACCAGGGCCAGAUCUUGAUUUUGUUUGUCAAAAGGGUCAAAACACAAAAUUUAGCCGCCAGCAGCGAUACAACCUUUGCACCCAGAAAAAACAUGAACAUGACCCGGGCACCUCCCACUCUGACCGGCUCCACAUACUUGCAGCAACGAGAAACAACUACUCCAGGUAAGUCCGACACUACGGCUACUAGGACGGCAGUAACAGUUGAGAAGACAACGAUUCUUUGGCACACCCAUUCCAAUCGGCUUCAGGUCAAUAUCCCUAUGCUACACUACGACGACAGAAUGAAAACGCAGUAGACGAUGGCUCAGCGGUCCAUUGACUCCUUCUGGUUCCAUGAGCAGCUCCAUACUGCAAACACAAGAAAUCGAAGAGUGGGGGGCGAAUUAAUGCGACGGCGAAGGGAUUCAAACUAGAAGACGAGAGUGCCAGGGAAAUAUAGUGGGGAUUAUACCUCGGUUCCUUCAGCCGCGAGCCCUGCGGCCACCGGCGCCGCGGCCACCGCCCUGGUUCGCCCUGCCGCGGCCGCUGCCGCCGUGCUUCCCGCGGCCGCCACCGCCACCGCCGUGCUUGGGGACGCUCUGGUUGCCGCCGCGGCCGCCGCCACCAUGCUUCCCGCGGCCGCCACCGCCACCGCCGUGCUUGGGGACGUUCUGGGUGCCGCCACGGCCGCCGGCGUUGCUCUUGUUGCCCUUCCCAGCCUGGCCCUCGCGCUUGCCAUGGCCCCUCUGCUGAGGGGGCAUGUCCUUCGCCUUUGACUUGCGACGACGACGGGAUGGACCUGCGGCCUUGUGCGUUUUGGGGCGGGCAGCGACCAAGACAGCAAUGCGCUUCUUCUCCUGCUCCUCACAGUACCUGCAGCAGCAGCAGCACACAAACACAACGGCUUCUUCACGCGAUGGUAGUUCGUCCCUACUUCUUCCACACCCAUGAUGAAAUUGUUGAACUUGGAUGGAUCAUUUCUCAUUUCUUAUACUAAACAUUUUUAAUUCGUCAUAAUUUAUAUUCUCACCAAACAUAUAUCCACUUCAUAGUAAUAUACAACAUUCAACAUAAUAUUUUAAAUAAUAUUUUGAAGUGUAUUCAAUGAGAACAACACUACAAGCUGGCUAUAUUAUAAUGUAUAUUUUCAUAAAUUAUUAAGCAAAUAUUAUUUUAUCUUAUUAUUUUAGUUUGACAUAUAUAGCGUAAAUCUUUUAGCACCACAUUAAUAUUUAAGCAUGUCAAAACGAUCAAGUUAACCCCACAAAUUAGUUGAUGCUUCUAGUGUUUAUAGUAAACCUAUAUGUGACUCGCUAUAGUGUUCUUGAAUAUCUAUACAACUUGGUUCAGAGUGUUAGAUUUAUGAAUAUUACAAAUGAUUCUGAGAGGUUUCUAGAGUAUAGAACUACCUUGUUUCGGUAUGAAAUAAAUAACUCUCUAGCGUAUGAGGUGACAACUAGCAAUUUUUCCUCGAAUCCCCUCUGCCACUCUCACUUGUUGGCAGAUGUCAUCCUCUUAGGACCCUAGCACAAAGCCUCACCGGCUUGUUUAACAAUCUCCAAGCAUGUUUUGAACAAUUGUAGGUCUCUAAAACCCGUGCCUGCUCUAGAUUUGGAAACUGAGAUGCCCUCCCAAGACUGCGAAUGUAAUCCUCUCUUAUCAGGUGAUCCCACCCACCAAUACUUUUGGACAUAAUAGCCGUUGCUCUGCGACAUAAACCUUUUGUGAGCUUAAAACAAUAUUAAAAGGGUUGCGCAUGCUAAAAAAAAUUGCGCAUACUUCCGGCCCUCUCACACCUCCAUUGAUUUCGAUCGUUUGAUCACACACCCUGGUCGACAUUGCUGGCCGUACGAUGCAACUCUUGCUCCUGUGGGGUUGGCAUUCUGAGAACAAAAUUGGAGGCCUCUUGGUCAUUGAUGCGGGUUGACGCCCGAUGCCGAACGGACGAUCACGCGAUACGACACCUCCGAGCCUCGCUCCCGCAUCAGGUGCAAAUGGACAUAGAGCCUGGUCAGCUACCACAGACCUAGCCCAUUUGGGCCAAUUUUGCGGCGGAUGUCCGGUUUUGUUACUUGAGUAGUAGGUCAAUAACAUGGAACGUUACAUGGUCAACAAAGUUGUUCAUCCAUCUAACCUCCAAGAACACCCAAAGCUAGUACACUAGCGUAAAAAAAAUGCUCUUAUAUUAUGGAACGGAGGGAGUAGAUCCUACGAUUUUAUACACUAAUGGUCAGAGAAGGCAGGAUCAGUGCACAGUGCAUACUUCCGGCCAUCUCAUACCUACAAUGAUUUCGACCGUGCCACGCAGCUCCAGCCUGGGUGGGGGCGCUUGUCAUGGUGAAGCAGAGGAUGAGGAGGGUGCCCAGGCCAGGCCGUUGUGUUCGUGUCGCGCUCUGCUCUUGUGAGCUUGGUGCGGACGGAACGGAACGGCGCAUGUGAUCUCUACCAAGUACUCCCUCCGCUCCGAAUUACUUGUCUCGGAAAUGGAUGUAGCUUCACAAAUCUCCCAACCACCUCUGCUCGUCAUAUAGCCACAGGGAGUAUCUUUAUCCGUCAUUAGUGGGCAGGAUACAAGCUCAAAACAACACCUAAAAACAGAGUAGGUCAUUAGAGCGCAAGGCAUGGAAAAGACACCCAGAGAGUCGCUGGUGGAGAAGCUAUAAUCCUGAACCUGUAAAGAGCAGCAAAUUUCAUACUCCCUCCGUCCCAUAAUAUAAGAGUGUUAGUGUAAAAAACGCUCUUAUAUUAAUGGGACGGAGGGAGUACAUCACAGAGAAAAACCAAUUCGCAGAAAUCGACAAACUAAAGUAGAGGCACAUCAUAAGCUCACAAGCAUGGCAGCCCCGUCGAUCGGGUAAUUUUAGGAAGAUAAUGAUAGUUGUUAUCUAAAAUGAUGACAGGAACAUUCAUAAGUCAACUAAGAUGAUGAUAGUUGUUAUCUAAAACCAAACAAGUUGAUGACCACCACCAAGUCCAUGGACUCAACAGGCUACAUACAUACAGACAUGAGAAACCGACCGACAGGCGUGACCGAUGUCGAUCGGGUAAUUUAGGACUUUGUACACCCCGUCUUGCACUUGUUCAUGGUCGGGUAGCAGUAAUCUUUUGGAACGCAGCAAAAGCAGUCUCCGUGGGAGCUGCAUUGCUCCUGAUCUACAAGAAUGCACAACCCAUUUUGGUAAAUUGAUCUUGUCAGACGCAAUUCGGCCUGUGAUAAGAUAUAUACAAUUAUUUUAGAGCAGAAUAAAUAAACGCGCGCAACAGAUCAGACAAGAACCUAACGAAAGAAAGAAAGAAAAAAAAGGCAUUCACUAGUACAUACCUGCAGGACAAGUGCCAAAAUUAACCCGGUUAUCAUCGAUGAGAUAGAUUGAUUUGAUUAAAAAACAGUGAAACUCAGUAUCACAUUUUAGAGACGUUAUUAAAACUGGUUGCAGGAUCUUUAGUUGGUAGCCCAUUGGAACCUUGAUGAGAAACAGGGGUUGUAAAAUCUGUUGAAAACCAGCUGGGUGCAUGAAAAACAAGUAGAUAAAGGUAACUAAAGAUGCCACUCAGCAUAACCUGGAUGGAUGGGUAAAAAUGACCGACGACGCACCUGCCCAGGUGAUGGCCGACGUCCCGACGGCGAAGCAGAGGAGGAGGAGGACGGCCGUGGUGUUGGUUGGGGCUGCGCUUGUCAUGGCGGUUGGGUUGCGGCGAACCUCUACUCAUCAUAGUCAUAGCUUCAUAGGGAGGAGUAUCAACUAGCAGCAGUAAGCUUCAUAAGAGACAAUAAUCAAUCCCAAUCACAGCCUCAAACGAACCAUCAAGUCAACUCAUGUAAAAUACAUCAUACAUCAAAGAGAAAUAUCUCGAUUCUGCGAAUCGAAAUGAUCUCUUAACUAUAUAAUCCUCACCUGGAGAGUCGCCCAUGGAGAAGCUAUAUAAUCCUGAACCUGUUAAAGUGUCAAGUGCAGAAAAUUUCAUAUUGGUGCAACAUGCAACAUCUUCAUAUGCACGCCCAAGAUCCUUACAGAAAGACAUUUGCACGGUAUUUCAGAUAUUUCAUACUCCAAGAAUUCAAAAUGCUCAAAUCAGCUUCAUACUCCAAGUGGCAUCUUGUAAAAUUAAAGUGCCUAUUAAAGUGAGGCCAGACAUGCAUUCACCAGCAGCUCUCCCUCCUUCAGCCUUAGGGUAGAGGGGGGCAUAGCAGAAAUGCUCUCGAGACACCCUGACUGAUUGAUCAGGAAGAUAAUGGUCAUAGUUUUACUCAUAUAAACUAGUAGCAGUAAGCUUCACAAGAGACAAUAAUCCAUUCCAAUGACAGCCUCAAACGAAGCAUCAAGUCAACUCAUGUUUACAGCUAACAACAGCAAUACAUCAUCAUCAUACAUAGAGAAAAUCGGUUCGCACAAACCGACAAACUAAACUAGAGGCACAUCAUAAGCUCGCAAGCAUUUUGUUUCGCCAGUAAAGACAGCAUCGAGUUCCUUCCUCGACCAGACAGCGGCUCAGCUCACAUCAUCUACCUCCUCACGGGAGGCGCGCCACCUCGUCCUCCACCAACUGGGGGGCCACCACCACGACCACCAGCAGCCUGCAUCCAAUUUUUCGGCAAGUUCAGAUGUUAGUGACUUGUAUACAUACAGCUGUUGACUAAUUUGCGUUUGCCAAACACAAAGUUCAUCCAAGGAUCAAUAAUAACAAGCCAAACAAUACAACAUAGCUAUUUGUUCAUUCUCAUAUUUUAC
RNAcentral lists this long non-coding RNA (57690 nucleotides) under Triticum aestivum (bread wheat). RNAcentral describes it as "long non-coding RNA (TAES_LNC003938)". The stretch from base 30608 to 30742 matches the Rfam family "MIR1120/MIR1122 microRNA precursor family". Lineage: Eukaryota; Viridiplantae; Streptophyta; Magnoliopsida; Poales; Poaceae. The record is from RNAcentral.